UUUGAGUGAUGCUACUUUCCCCGUGUGUAUGUUUUUUGUCAAUGUAGUUUUUCUUGUUCUCGUAAUAUUGUUUUCUUGUACAGCCAAGGAUGUUGAUGACUGUUGACGAAAACCUCAAACCUCUGUCAGUCCCAGUUCGGGUGGGCCAGGCUGUUGAUGUUGUUGGCCAGGCUGGCCGACCCAAGACUAUUACUGGUUUCCAAACCCAUUCCACCCCAGUUCUUCUGGCUGCCGGCGAUAGAGCAGAACUGGCUACGGAAAAGUAAGUUACCUCCUGAAUGACUGGUAGGAAUGUUGCGUGAUUUAACUGAAUUGUGAUUUCGCUUAACGAUUCCAUUUGUACAGGUAUAUUCCCCUCUCACCCAUCUUAGAGGGCCAUGUUAUUUUGAAAGAAAAUCCGGAUUACAGAGAAGAUAGUUAGGUUAAAAGCAGGAAUCUGGAGGCUUAAUACAAUGUUUGUUGAUUGUAACUUCAAUUUUUAAUUUUUGUAACUUAAUUUUUAUCCGUCAUAAAAUUUCGAUUUGUUGACUACAAAAGCAGAAAUUCUUCAUGCACUCAUUUACCGAUCAAAAGUUUUUAAUUAGUAUAAUUUCUGCAGAACCUCUUUUUAUUUAUUUAUUUAUUUGAAUAAUCAUUAAGAACUUAAAACCCUAAUUCGAUUGCAAUUUAAAGUGGAAAUUAAGAAAUGUUCUUACCGAUUCUUUCAUUCUCACUUUAAAAUCACAGAAGUAGCAAGAAAAAGUAAAACUAUAUAAUCAUUAAUGCUUGAAGCUUUUUAACGUCAGAUUGCAGUUUUAGGUAGAGAUUAGAGUAGCAGUAGCCUCCCGCCUCAUUUUCCUAGUUUAUUUAAGAUGAUUAGAGCACCAUUUUGAGGUUAAGUGUUACAGCAGCAUAUGUAGCGUUAGUAUAGGUAGGCGAUAGCUCAAAUGAAAAGUUCUGCUAGAUUUCGCCAUGACCAAUUUUGGAUUCGAGCAUUGCAAAAGUUUUGUCGAACACGUAUUCUAGGCCCCCAUUAACCAAAAGAGGAAAAGUACUAUAUUUUAUCCUCUGUUGCCUUGAAAAUCCCUUCUGAUAAAAUAUUUCUGGUUGAACUCAUUGGCAUCUUCUCCCCAUUGUUCGAUCCCUAUGCGACAAGGUGCAAUGGCAUAAACAGCUUGCCAAACUCCCGCUGGAAGACUCAAAAAUUUCCAGCUUUUGGUUCUAUUCUGUUAUGUGAUUCGAAUCAAGGACGUCGAAGGGAUAUAGUCUUAAACUUCAAGCAGAAUCAUGUUUACCUAGUCAGAAAAAAAAAUUUCAAAUCUUCAAUCAAACAGCACAAGCAAGAAACCAUAAACCAAACUGCACUUACCAUCUUCAAGCGAUUCAAAGUCAUCAUAUGUUGGUUUAUUCUUUCCCAAAAACUUUGAAUACAUUCUUCCCAUGGCCGCUUUCUGCCAUCAUUAUGCAUUCUCAACACAAUCAUGGUCCAUGUCAACUUAUUGGCUGUGGUUUCCUGACCAGCUAAGUAAAACAACUUGCACUCUUCUUCAAUCACGUCUUCCGUUGUCAUCCCCGCAUAAGAAUUCUUCUUUUCUUGUAGCUCAUUGAGAUUGGACUUCAGUAGCAAGUACAACAAAUCGUCUUUGUGAUCUGCUAUCUUAUAGCCUUCUCUCUUUUUUGUUCUAUACCUGUUAAUAAGGAUCCAACUUCUCUGAGGAUGUGCUUCAUUCUUUCGUUUCCUUUGGCUGGCAGAAACCUGAUUGAGAAGGAAGUUUUGGAAUAAAAUUUGCAAUGUAAAUGGUACUACUCAUGAUGAGGAGAUUGGUUCAGGUUGUUUAAAAUUUGUGUAACAAUUUGUUGAAGAUAAAGAGUCAAAUAGAAGGUCAUAGUGAAUGAGCAAAUGCCAUAGGGUAAAAUAUACCUUAACAAUGGGAAAUUGAUGCUCUGAGAUUGUAAAAAGACCCGUCCCUUUUCCUUUUGGAGAAGGAAUAUCAACCUCCCUUCUUCGAAAUUACUGCCAAAAACUGCUCUCGAUAUGACACCCCCAGUUAAGUUUCGAAAUUCAUCAGACAUAUGCAUUUCACAAGACCACAUGAAGUUGACCAACUUGUUCCACUUUGAUGUCAAUUCUUCGGUACAAACAACAAAUGCAGGCAACAUAUGCUAACAAUAAUACCAAAUGAGUAAAAUAAGUCGCCAAUAACGGUUCUAAAAAAGAAAGCUGAUGAAGAAAAAUAACCUUCAACUUCUCUAUAUGGAAGACAGGAUUAACGAUUCUCCUCUGUUUUGCCCAUUUAUCUCCAUUAUAGCUUGCAAGGCCAGUCACGACCAACUCAGUGAAUGAAUUUAUUUCUGGCUUAGGGAAAUCACCAGAUUUGUUGUUCAGAAUCUCUUUUAUUAAAUUUGGCUCCAUGAUUGCCACACGAGGAGUUGUUCCAUACCAAACAAAGAACGAUUUCUCCGCAUGGUUUUCACAUAUACAGUGAGGAUUCUUGUCAUUUGCAUAUCCUUUAUGACCAUUGACAGCUUUUGUUAAUUUUGUGCUUUAAUUUUAACGAUCCAAACGUCAUACCCCUCAAUAUUUAAAACGUUUUAUAAAAAAGCUGUAAUGAUUGUUGCAAUGUUCAGAAACCUGGAUAAAAAACAAAAAGUAUUUUUAGAAGUAUAUUAAAAUCAAACAAUCGUUAUCAAUUUUUUUAAAGUAUGAUUGAUUAUUUAAAAAAUUUAUCUCUUUAAUAAAAUAUUAAAAUAAAUUUAAAGUUUAUUAAAAAUAUAUUUUAGCUUUCGAAAAUAGAAUUAAGUUCGAGAAUCGAUUACGUAUGAGAAAUAAUUAGUACUUUCGCAAUGACUAUUAAAAACGAUACCAAUUGAUUGUAUGUUAUUCUUGAGAUUUAGUAAAAAUGGUCUUAUUUUUCAAUGUUUGUAAAUUGAUUCUCUAAUUUAUUUAUUCAUUCUAAAAAUUGAAUCUUUUUGAAAAUUUAUUGUCUCGAAAACAAAUCAUUUUUAUUCUUUAAAAAAAAAAAAAACAAUACCAUUUAUUUUGGAUCAAGAUGAAAAAUCAUAAGUUUUGAAACACUUCUUUCACUCCCUUAUAUUUAGACAGAAUUUAAAAAAUGUUUCUAACUUUAAGAGUUUUCAAGAUGCUCUACAAAACCAAGAUAAUAUUCGUAUAAAUAAUAACCGUUGAGAAUCUCCCUAUAUUUAAGUUAGAUCUUAAGAGUUAUUUUUACUUGAAGUAUUAUCUUAUUUUUAUUAUUUUUAAAACAUUUUCUUAAAAUAUAUUAUUCAUGAAACAUUCGAAUGACAUGUAUGAACAAACAUAAUAUGUAUAAUAUAUGCAUGACCAUCAAAUAGGGAAUGGCAAAUAUGAAUGCAUGAAUGCAAUAACAAUUCAAGAAUGUUAAUGCAUGUGAUAAUUUAUGGAAAUGAAAUGUGAAUGCAUGAAAAAAGAGUCUAGGGUUGGUUCUUAAGGUUUAAGGUUGGUUUGGGGAUUGUUUUGGGGUUCAGUUUAGGGUUUUUAGGGUUAAGGUUAGAGUUUAGGGUUUAGAUCUGGUUAGGAAUGUGGGUACAGUUUAAGGUUUGGUCUAAGGUUUGGUUUAGUUUAGGUUGGUUUAAGGUUUUAUGGGUUUUGGGGUUGGUUUAAAGGUUUAGAUUUGAUUUAGGGUUUGGAAUUGGAUUUAGGAUUUGGGGUUUGGGGUUUUGAUUUGGGGUUUAGGGUUUUGAUUUAUAGUUUUCGGGUUUGGUUUAGGGUUUUGAGGUUUGGGUUUAAGGUUUUAGGGUUUAAGAAUUUAGGUUAGGGUUUAGGGGUUUAGUUUAGGGUUUGGGGUUUGGUUGGGGUUUAGGAAUGGUUUAAGGUUUUAAGGUUUGAUUUUAGGGUUUAACGGUUUGCAUGAACAAUGCAUGUGACAAAAUGAACAUGGUACCAAUGGAAAAUGAAACUUUUAAUGCAUGAAAUGGAACUACAUAAAAAACCAAAGCUUGAGGCAAAUGCAUAACCUUACUAAAAGAAAAUCAAACUCCUAAGGAUAUGGGAAGGUUCAAGGAUUAGUCAACCCAUGAAUAGGGGCUAGACCAAAAUCUUCAAGGCCAUUUGAGCAUCCAUUAUAUUGGUGAAACAUAUAAUACUAUAUAUCUCCCAUUUUCAUUCAAAACAAGCACAUGAAGAUCAAAGUUAAGAAUAUUAAAAAUUCAUUCACUUAACAUUAUUACCUUUUGAAAAUUUCAUCAAACACAUGGAAAGCAUAAAAUUUUAAUUAGAAAAAAAAAAGCAAACAUGCCUGAAAUAUCAACCUCUAGCCAUGAAAAAUAAGGUUGGGAGUCUCAACCAAGCAAUGGGAAGUGCUAGGCCAAAAGCUUCCCAUGGCUCCUCCACAAAUAUUCCUCAUUUAUUUAGCUACGACAUACUUCAAAUACAUAGAAAACUAACCUAUGAAGGCAUUUUAUUAUCAAAGGACUUUCAUCAAAUAUGUAAGAAACUACUAAGAAAGUAAAGGUUAGAAUCAUCUAUACUUACGAAAUAACCAACAUAGCUCACAAAAGUAUUAGACUAUUAUACAAGUAAUAAUCAAUAUAACCACAAUCCCAAUAUAAUACAUUAAUCCAAGCAAGGAAGCCACAUAAACAAACUAAGGGGAGGUUUGGCUAUGGCAUGGAAGAGCUUGGCCAAAUCUCCAAUGGUGGCUUUCUUGAUAUUACUUGAUCUUCCUUACUUCAAACUAUACUAUUGAUUUAGUUAGUUGAAUUUAUUAGAUCAAACAUGGAAUUAUGGAAGAAAACAGCUACAGGAAGAGUUGAUCCCUAUUGGAAAGUCACAAAAAUCAAAGAAAAAUAAAAUAAAAGAGUAUGAAAGUUUGCAUGAAAAUGCAUGGAAGUAGGGAGGAGAAAUUAUACCUUAAAAGCUUCCUCCAAAAAAAAUUUUUUCCUCCCUUUUUCUCUUUUUUCACGCCACUGUUUGGCUGCCUCUUCCCUUUUUUUUUUUCAACCUUAUAUGAUAAAUCUAGAAACCAUGCAAAAGUCCCUUAACCCUUUAAUCAAUUCUUUUUCCAAUGGCUAGCAUAGUUUUUCCCUUUCUCUUCAAGCCUAAUGAUCCCAUUCGAUUAUGAGUUCUAAGGGUCAUCCUGAGUCUAACCAAGUUUGACAAAUUUUGACUAGAUUUAACUUUAUUUGACUAAGUUUGACCAUAGGAUAUUCAAGCUAAUUUAGUCCAAAAUUCAGUUUUUUAAAAAUUUGUCAAUAUUAAAGAAAUGCUGAAUUUGAAUUAGGUCGAUCUUUAAAAGCAUCACAACUAACUGGAAUUUGCCUCGACAAAAUUAAAUGUCUACAAUGAUCCAUAUGAUAUACAUCAUAUGAUCUUGUAAUCAAUUUGUAAUGAUCCACAUGAUGUCUAGUUAGAAAUAUUUUCAAAAUAUGAAAAUAGUUUGAUUAAAUAAAGACUUAGUCAUAAGAGAAUCAAAUUAAGCUAAUUUAAUAAUUUAAGGAAAUGUUUCAUGAUCAAUAGGAUUGAUUUUAGACUUAAAGAAUUAAUGAAAGAUGGCAUAUCAUAGGAGCCAUUGACUAUCUUAACAAGAGUAAUCGAUUACCAUGUUCUUGCUUAAAAAAAAGUUGACUAUCUUUACCAAAAAAGUUAAUUGCUAUGUAUUCCAAAAAGGUACCAAGGACUUGGUACAAAACUUAACAUAAAAGCAGUCAAUAGCUUACCCUAGGCAAUCGACUGCUAUGGCUGAAAUUGAUUGCUCUAUUGAUUGUUUUAAGUUUUGGGUAUCUGGAAUUAAGGGAAAUCGACUGCUAUUAGGCAAUUUUGACAACCCUAAUUCAUGGAACAUUUUGGAAAUGAAAAUUACAAAUAGAUAGUUGAUUAUUUUUAGGAAGCAAUCAAUUACUCUAGUUGAAAAGUUACAAUUUUUUUGAAAUGUGAAAAAUGGUUUCUAUUAAAAUGAAAAGAGUAAUCAUUCAAAUGAAUUAAUAUAACUUUGAUUAAGCAAUUAUAAUCAAAGAGUCAUAGCCUUAGGAUUUAAUCUCUAUAAAUAGAGAUUGUUAGUGUUCGUUUGAGCUAAUUCAAAAAUAUGUUCAAGAUUGGACAAUAUAGAAACUCACUUUUUUUUCUCUCAUUCUAUAAUAAAUAAAAUAAAGUUACAUUGACAUUAUUUUUACAUAAAUUAAUAUUCAAAGGUUAAUGUUUUCAUUUUCAUUAAAAAGUGUUUCGUGGUUUGAUAUCAUAAGUGCAAGAUGAAAUCAAACAAGACUUUAAUGUAUCUUGAAAUCAUUUCAGUUAUAUCCCUUUUGCAUAACUUAAUUGGGAGGGACUAAAUAACCUAAGGAAAGUGACAUUUGCAGCACGCCUUAAAGUCAUUUUCUUAUUCUUUGAAGGUUUCAUCUUAAGAUCAACCAAGGCUAGAAGAGAAGAGUAUAACUGAAGAUACAAAUUGAUGAUCAUCAUUAAGAUACAAAAAUUUGUAACAAAAAUUAUACAAGUCUUGAAAUUUCUUUUCAAAAUAAAAAGAAAGCUAAAACUAAAAAAUAAAAAUAAAAAUAAAAAAGGCCUAAGCAAAAAGCAAAAAAAAAAAAAAAAAGGGAAUGACUUUAUACUCGUCUCAACUCAAUCGAUAUUGAGUUAUUAUUUUUAAUACUCAACCUCAAUCUGACACAUAUAUAUGUAUAAACUACAUUUGAUUUAAUUUGACAAAAAAAUAAAUUUAAUAAUAUAACAUUAAUGAAAAUAUUAUUUUUUUAAUAUAAUUACAUCUAAAUUAUAUGUAAAUAUAAUAUUUUAUUAGAUAAUAAUUUUAUUAAUAUAAUAAAUAAAAAUUAAAUUAAAUAAAUAAUAAAAUAUAUAUAUUCUUAUAUAUAUCUUAAAAUGGGACGGGACAAGGCACCUUCAACCUGCCUUUAACCUGAUCUCAAUUUUCAAGGAGAAAAAAUUGUCCUACCUUGACUUCAUUUUAAUUAAAAAAUCAUCCAUAUUAAUUUGACGAGUUAAAACCCAUCGGAUACAGGUUGUUUGGACAUCUUUACUUUCACUGACACCAUUUUUUACAAAUUUCAUUUUAUUUAAAAAUGGAAAAAAGACAAACAUAAUAAAAAAAGGCCAAAUAGGGUGCCAUGUAGACGCUUUUGUUAUCAUUUUAUCUUUCAAAACAUAGAUAAAAAAUGCUAAAAUAGAUAAUUAAAAAAACUAUAACUAAAAAAAAGAAAUGUCUUAAGAAAAAAAAAAGCCAAAUUAAUGGGAAAUGACUCAACGCUAACUUGAUUUUUUAAUAAUUCAAUCCGAUUUCAAUUUUGACUUGACAUUGAGUUAUUAAUCAUUAAUAUUUGGUCUCCAAUCGUUACAUUUAUGUAUAACUCAUAUAUGACCUAAAUUGAUAAAAAAUUAAUUCAAUAAUUUUAAUUUAGAAGAAUGUUCAUGAAAAUUUUUUUUUAAUAUAAAUUACAUCUUAAUUAUAUAUAAAUAUAGUUUUUUUUAUUAAAAUAAGAUAUUAAAUAAUAACUUUAUUAAUAUAAUACAUAUAUAAAUAUAAAAAUAAAUAAAUAAUAAAAUAUAUUUUUAUAUAUACCUGAGACGAGAUGAAACAUCCUAAACCUACUUUCCACCCGAGCUUGUUUAAAACAAAAAUAAAAAACUCAACCCGAUUUGGAUUAAAAAAUACAACUAUUGGACGAAGAUGAAUUGAAACCUAUCAAAUAUAAAAGUUAAGAACCAAAAAAUAACAAAAAAAGAAAAGAAAAGGAAGCUAAAUAUAGGUACCACAUAGAUUUAUUAAAUUAAAAUAUUAAAUAAUAACUUUAUUAAUAUAAUACAUAUAUAUAAAUAAAUAAAUAAAUAAAUAAAUAAUAAAAACACUUCUUUAUAUAUAUUUGGAAUGGGGUAUAGCAUCUUAAAUCCGUCUUCGACUCAAUUUCAAUUUAAAGAAAAAAAAAUAGUGACCUGAUUUUAAAUUUUAAAAAACACCUAUAUUGGAUGAGGGGUGAAUCAAAAUUUAUCGGAUAUGAGUUAUUUGUCAUCCUUUGUUCCAUUAAUUUUUUUUUCAAAAUUUAUCUAAUAAAAAAUAAAGUCAAAAAUAAAAAAUAAAAAACCAAAUAAAAUUAAAAAAAUAAAAGUAGAUUUUAAAGAAAUAUUGGAUGCCACAUGACCCUCACCCUCAUUUAUAGAUGUCUUAGACAAAGGAAAAAUAAAUGUUUUCUUUGUUCUAAAAAAUUAAGAGUGGCCACCUAAAAAAUCUGUAACUAAUUUUCAUUUAAUGAUAGGUAAUACAAUAUAUUAAUAUUCGAAACCACAAACUUUUCUUAUAUAUAAAUUUUUUAUAACAUUAUAUAAUAUAUUUUUAAAAAAUAAUAAUAAUAAUUAAUCAAAUAUUUAUUUCAAAUUAUCAAUAUAAAUUACAAUUAUAAUCAAGUAUUAUAUCUAUAAUAUAAAAAAUCACUGAAUAAUCAAUUAAACAAACUAAAAUAUCAUUAGACAAAUCCAAUAUAAAAUUGAAUCAAACCUAUACAAAAUGAAACUUAAACUAAGAUAUUAUGGUUCUAAAGCAUUUUUUUUCUUUUUACCAUUAAACCAAAACUUCAUUAACAAAAUUGAUUGAAUACCAUUUCUAUUCAUAAGAACGGUUAAGAUCCCUUGAGCAAUGCAAGAUUUAGACAAUACAAAUUAAAUCUUCUUGCAUAAGCCUAUACAAAAGCAAUAGGAUGGUAAUGUAAAAACUGUAUCUCCAAUUUGCCACUAUGCGCCAUGGAAGCAAGAAAAUUGACACAAAAAUUAGUCUUUUUUUAAUAGGUGAGGACAACUUGACCAUUCCAAUCUCUUGUCAAUAGCACCUUAUAAAGAGGAUCCAUCGAUUGAAGUUAGGUAUUGAUAAUUUUAUGAAGUGCCACAAGAGAAUCAAAUUUCAAUAUGGCAGACCUAUAACUAUGUUCUCAUGUAAUUCGUAAACCCAUGAAUAAAUUGCAGACACUUCCAUCUUGAGAAAGAUGCCCCAAUCAAUUUUCUCAAUAAGAAAAAAAAAAAAAAAGCCAACAACCAUUGCUAUCACUAUGCAAACCCCCAAUUACCAAUUCUCACGAAUUAUGAAAAGCUGAAGCAUCAACAUUUAACUUAACAAACCUAAAGGUGGAACAGGCUAAGUAAUAUGUUCCGAAACUUCCAAACGUCCCAUACACAACCAAAUCAUACAGUUGAUUUUGAAAAGAAAGAGUCAUCACUAAUUUUUUUUUUUAUGUGUAGUUAGACACUUAAAAAGUUUAUCUUUUUAAUAAAAUUUUAAGAUUAAUUAAAAUUUAUUUAAACAUUACUUUUAUUUUAUGAAAAUAAAUUUGAGUUCAGAAAUACUGUUACGCGUGUGAAAUUAUUAACACCCACAUAAUGCCAAUUUUAAAACAGUAAUAAUUGAUCACAUACUAUCUUUUAGUAUUGAUAAGACUAGUUUUAAUUUUAAUAUUUAACAUAAUUUCCUUAAUUUUAUUUAUUUUUUAUUGCAAAAUCCUUUUAAAACAUUUUAUUUAGGAAUAAGAUGAAAAUCUUUAAUUUCAAAAAAAUUUUAUGAACUCUUUUAUAUUUAGCAAAAUUUUGAAAAAUAUUUAUCCACUUGAGAUUUUCACAAUAAAUAAUAACUACUAAAAAAUCCUUGAAUAUCUAGGUCGGAUCUCAAGAAUUAUUUUCACUUAGGAAUAUUAGCUUUUAUUUUCAAUAAAAAAAUAUUUUUUCAAAAUCAUAAUUUAUUACUUUAUAUUUUUUGACAAUAAUAAAAUGCAAAUAAUGCAACAUGGAGCAAAUGGAUGAUGAAAAUAUAAAUUAAAAGUAGUAAAUGUCCGAUUUAAUUUCACUUUAUAAGUAUUUAAUUUGAUAUCUUUUUAUUUUUAUCAUUAUUUUUAAAAAAAUAUUUAGUGAUAAAUGAAAUUUUAUUUAUUUAUUUUUGUGUUGGAAAAACCUUUUUAAUUUUCUAAUAUUUAGGUGAAAUUUAAGAAAAUUAAUCCUUCACUUAAAAAAUUCUCAUGAUUAAUUUUUGGUAAAAAUGAAAAGGAUAUUCUUUAAUAAAAAUUCGAUUUGGAUUCCCCGCAAUAUUUAGAUAAGAUCUCCAAAAUUAAUUUUUAAUUUUUUUUUUAUCAUUAUUAUCACUUUAGAUUUAUUAUCAAUGGGUGAUGCAAUAUAAAUGAUGUACAUAAAAAUAACAUAAUGCAAAUAAUCAAUUUCAUUCCAUUUUUUUAAGUUUUUCAUUUUUAUAUCUAUUAUUAUUUAACAAAGUUUUUAGAAAUAAAAUAAAAAUUUUUAGUGUUGGAAAAUUUUCUUAAUUCCCUAAUUUGAAGUGAAAUUUAAGAAAAUUGAUCCUCUAUUCAAAAUUUUUGCAUAAUUGAUCUGUUUUUUUAUAUAAAAUUAAUAUUCUUUAAUAAAAUUAAUUAUUUAAAUUCCUUUCAAUAUGUAGAUAUAAUUUCCAGAUAUUAUUUUUAUUUAGGAUGUUGUUUGGAAAAUUUUUAUUGCUUAAAAUCAUGAUUUCAAAUUAUGCAACAAAUGAAUAUGUAUGAAUAACUAAACGGAAAAUGUGAAAAGGAAACCAUUUAGCAAGCGAAAUAAAUAACCUAAACAAAUUAACAUAAGACACGUGAAAACAUAAUGGAAGUGAACCUCACCACAUGUAAAUUAGAGAACGACUACAGUAUGCAAUAUACAAUUUGAGCAAUCACAAUAACAAACCAAAACCUCUAUUAAAGUUGAUGAAUGAAAAGUCAAAGGAAAUGGUUUCAUUUAUUUCAAAACAGCUCAAGAUUCCAUUCUCGGUUAGUUUUCAAAAUUUUGUAUUUCUUUAAACAUUCUCGUCCUCAUAUUUUUAAAAUUAAGAAUGAAGACAUCCUCUUUUUAUCAUUAAAACAGCACUUAGAGACCCCAAAGACCCAGCUUUGAGCUUCUGAAAACAGCCCACCUGAUUAAAAUAUUGAAACCCCUUCAAAAAUCAAAUUUUGAAACGUAAAAACCAUCGAAACUUUCCUUUUCUUUCAUGUUUUGGAAAGCUCCUUGACUUUACUAUAAAAGCUUCAAUUUUUAUCGUCAAAGUCAAACCUAAAAGCUCAAAACUUGAUCCUAAUCCUCCUUAAACAGCCAACAAAGGGGCAAAGUCGAAAAGGUCUUUGAAACCAGUUUUUGAACUUUGAAAGAACUUCAAAACCCCUUCUUUUCUCCGAGCUAUAAAAAACCUUUAAACUUUGAAAGCAUUACAAGAGAAUAGGCCUUUAGUGACUUUCUUUUUUUUUUUUUCAUAUUUAGUAGCAUUUACCGCUAAAAGAUUUAUGGCAUUUGCUAAAAACAUCACUAAGAGUAUUACUUAUACCUGUGUUAGGGAUAAUAAUGACAUUGUAAGAAAAUAUUCCGCUAACUUAUCUAUCUCUAUAGGCACAAAUGCCACUAAAUUUAGCAACAUUUAUAUGUACAAAUGUCUUUAAUUUUUGUAAUCUAGGGGCUUUUAUAAUGAAAAAUGUCACUAAAUUUAAUGAUUUUUUUAUAGACAAAAGCCGUUAUAUUCAAAAAUUAGUGGCAUUUUUUUUUAUCAAAAAUACCGUUCAAUUUAGUGACGUUUUUUGCACAAACGCUACUAAUUUCUAUAAACUAGCAGCAUUUGUUUGCUAAAUUAGAAAAUUAACUUUUUUUAAAAUUUUUUAGUAUUUACUACUAUAAUUAAAUAAAAAAAUUUAAAAGAAAUAAAAAUGAAUUUAAAUUCAUAAACUAAAUAUUAUAAAUAUUUAAAUAUGUAAAUACAUAAUUUGUUUCAGUAUACAUAGAAUACAAAAUUUAAUACAAUAACACUCAAAUUGUUUUAGUAAAUUAAUUAAAAAUUUAAAUGUAUGAAAUUGAUGACCUCUUAAACUUAGAGCACUAUCAUUUAAUAAAGAAUUUUUAUGAUCACUAGCUUGCUCUAGAACUUACUGAAUAAAGUAAAACAAGUUUUAACACUUAAUAAUAAGCUAUUUUUGAUAGUGAAAAAAAUAAAUGGUUAUUUAAUAUAAUAUCCUUAGUUAGUGGACCACCUAGAUUGGUUUCUGAAAAUUAUUAUUGUACAAAAUUUAUAAGAGUGUCAAAUCGAUCAUGCAACUGCUAAAAUCUUGCAUGCUCCUGAUCCAUUUUAGCACACUAUUAUUCAGUUCUAGCACGCUUUUCCUCUAAUCUGGCACGCUCUACUUCUCUUUUUGCUUUUAUUUGCUUGACAUGUUAUUGCAUAGUUUUCAAUCCCUUUCUCAAUAUGAAGAUGUCUCACAAAAACUAGCUUGUUGAGAAUGUAAAUUGCUAAAAGCUACAUCCAUAAUAACUAGAUAGUGUUGGACGAUUCAAGGCCUUGGACCCAUCCAUGUCUUUCUUUUUCAGCAACUUCUAUGACAAUUCGAUCUUUCUAAUUUUUGCAUGUUGAUAGAACAAUCAGGAGUUGCUUCAAUCUUAGCAACCUUUUCUCUUUUGCUUUCUCUCGUAAAUUAACUAGAUAAAACUAUCAAGUUUAAUAAUUAAUUCAUAAUAUAUUUAAAAUAGUAAAUAUUUACUUUAUGUAUAAACCAAAUCUAAGAAAUUACCACAAUUUCUUAUGUUUCAAUAUUUAGGUAAAGUUCAUCUUUUUUCGUGUGGGUUAAUAAAAAAAGAUUCACAUGUCCAAUUUUUUAAUCCAAUUCAAUCUCCUACAUAAAAACACAUAUUAUUGUCAAACACACAUCAACUAAAAUUUAUUCAUACAUAUCAAGCAUGGCAAUCAAGUUCAAACAUUCAGAUAAGUUUAAUAUCAUGUAUUUAAGUGAUAUAAAUUAUUAAAACAAAAAAUAACUAAAAAACCAAAUUUUGCCCUUUAACACUAUAAAAAAGUUUUAAACAGACGUAAACUGUAAUUUUUUCACACAUCAAUUGUAAAAAUCAAGUUCAAUCAUUCGAACAAGUUUAAUAUCAUGUAAUAAAAAUAUCCAAACUGUUAAAAAGAAUAAUAACAGUAAAUUUACUUUUUUUGCUUUUUAAUGGCACAAAAAAAUCCUAAACAAAUAUAAACCAUAACUUUUUCACACAUAUCAAUCAUGAAAAUUAAGUUCAAUCAUUUGGACAAGUUUAAUAUUAUGUAUUUAAGAUAUCUAAAUUGUUAAAAUAGAAAUAUAACUACAAAUUAUAUUUUUGCCUUUUAUUGGCACAAAAAGUCAUAAACAGACAAAAAUGAUAACUUUUUCACACAUAUCAACCAUGUAAACCAAGUUCAACAAUUCGGACAAGUUUAAUAUCAUGUAUUGAAGCUAUCCAAACUAUUAAAACAUAAUAAUAACAGUAAAUUUGUAUUUUUGAUUUUUAACAAAAAGUCCUAAAUAGACAUAAACCAUAACUUUUUCACACAUAUCAAUCAUAGAAACCAACUUCAAUAAUUCGAACAAGUUUAAUAUCAUGUAUUUAAGAUAUUUAAACUAUUGAACAAAAAUAUAACUACAAAAUUAUAUUUUUGCCCUUUAAUGGCAUAAAAAAAUCCUAGACAGACAUAAACUACAACUUUUUCACACAUUCAGUUGUGAAAACUAAGUUCAAUCAUUUGAACAAGUUUAAUAUAAUGUAUUUAAGAUAUCUAAACUGUUAAAACAAAAUUAUAAUUGUAAAAUUACAUUUUUAUCUUUUAACAGUACAAAAAGUUUUAAACAAACAUAAAUGAUAACUUUUCACACAUAUCAACUGUGGAGACCAAGUUCAAUCAUUUAGACAAGUUUAAUAUCAUAUAUUGAAGCUAUCUAAACUAUUAAAACAAAAUAAUAACAGUAAAUUUGUACUUUUUCUUUUUAACGAAAUAAAAAGUCCUAAAUAGACAUAAACGACAAUAUUUUCACACAUAUUAACCUUGAAAACCAAGUUCAAUCAUUCAGACAUGUUUAAUAUCAUGUAUUGAAGGUAUCCAAAUAGUUAAAAUAGAACACUAACAACAAAUUUGUAUUUUUAUCUUUUAACGGUAAAAAAAAGUCCUAAACAAACAUAAACCAUAACUUUUUCACACAUAUCAAUCGUGGAAACCAAGUUCAAUCAUUUGGACAAGUUUAAUAUCACGUAUUGAAGCUAAUCAAACUGUUAAAAUAGAAAAUAACAAGAGUAAAUUUGCACUGUUAUUUUUUAACGACACAAAAGUCCUAAACAAACGUAAACCGUAACUUUUUCACAUAUAUUAAUUGUGGAAAUGAAGUUCAAUCAUUCAAACAAGUUUACUAUCAUAUAUUUAAGAUAUCUAAAUUGUUUAAACAGAAAUAUAAUUGUAAAAUUAUAUUUUUUCCCUUUAAUGGCACAAAAAGUCAUAAAUAGACAUAAAUGACAUUUUUUUCACACAUCAACCGUGGAAAUCAAGUUCAAUCAUUUGGAUAAGUUUAAUAUCAUGUUUUGAAGCUAUCCAAACUGUUAAAACAUAACAAUAUAGUAAAUUUGCAUAUUUACUUUUUAACAGCACAAAAGUCUUAAACAAGCAUAAAUAGCAACUUUUUCACACAUAUCAUUUGUGAAAACUAAGUUCAAUAAUUUAUAGAAGUUUAAUAUCAUGUAUUUAAGGUAUCUAAACUAUUAAAACAAAAAUAUAUAUACAAAAUUAUAUUUUUACCUUUUAAUGGCAUAAAAAGUCCUAAAUAGACAUAAAUCGUAAUUCUCUUAUUUAAUUCUUAACUUUUUUUUUUUUUUGCUUUCUUGCAAAGCUUUUUAAUUCACUCAUGCGGCUAUAUUUCUAUUACUUUUUGCUAGCAAUCCUAACCUUUUCUGAUUCCUAUCAUAGAAAAAAAUUGCGUAUAUAGCAGAAAUAUAAAUAUUACCAACUAAAAUCAUAAAAACCUUUAUUAUUAAAAAUAAUAUUAAAAGUUAUAAUUUAGUACCUAUCUUUUUCUUAAGAACCAAAAUCUAACCAAUUGUUCUUAUUGCCACUUAAUUACACCAUGAGGUAGAUUUUUCAUUGUGGCCUUUAUAGUACUAUUUCUAUCGAAAUACUUUUUCUUCAAAUUAUUUAUUGUCUUUCCAUUUCUUUCUCAAUGACUUAAGUACCAAUGAAGUAGGCAUUUCAAGUAAAAAUUAUGACUGUAACAAUACAAAAAGAAAAGUUACAAUCUAUAAACCAACUUUAAAAUAAUUAAUAUUUAUUAUAUGUAAUUAAUUAUACUAAUAUCUCAAUAAACUUUAAAGCAUCUUUCUUAACUUAUGCUAGAACUUUUUGCCAUGUUUGGUAACAAAUAGGCAAUUUCAUUCCAUUAUGAGUAAUCAUUCUUAGAAAUUUUGCCAAUAGUUGACACUUUUUACCAGUUGGUUACAUAUCAAAGUUUGCAGACACUACAAUACACUCAUUUGGAGAUAAUGUCUAUAAUUCUUUCAAAGUUGUCCAACCUCUGGUCUUUCAUUGACCAUUGUUAUCAAUUGUAAAAAAUAAAAAGUUAAUUAGUGAAUUGUCAAUACUUUAAUGAUUAUAAACAAAACCUAAAUAUGGGGUUUACGACACCUUCAUUCAAAUUAGAACAGAAUCAAUUGCUAGGAUACUAUUUAAAUCUCGACCUCGUAUAUUACCAAAUCUAGUAUCAGUUAAAGGUAAGAAGUAGCAAAGUUAGAACCGACAAUAGGCACAUUCCCCUCCAAAAGAUUCAAUCCAUGGCCAAGUUCAACUGGUGCCACAGACGGUUUUAAACUAAUAUCUCUGAUAUGUACUUCUCAUAAUCUACUCUUCAAUAUUGUAACUUAAUUGCAUCAUAAAAGCAAAUCAAUUAAAAGUUGAUAAGUUUAGACAUUGUAAAUAUAACCAACAAUAUAUAAGAACAUAUCUAAAAAAACAUAUAUAAAAACAUUGAAAAGUCAAGAAAUCAUAACCAACGAUAUAUAAAGAACAUAUCAAUUUAAUUAAAUUAAAAGAUAAUGCAUGAUUUACAACACAAUAAAUAUACAAAUGCUAAUGCCACAUAAAUUACAUAAAAACAUUUAUUACAUUAUGUUUUGAACAUUCUAAUUACAAAAUAUAAAUUAUCCAUCAUGGUUUAUAAAUGUCUUCAUCAAUAUAUUCGCGGACCCACUAAGCAGAGGUACUGGAGAUAUUUCUAUCUAAUGUUUGUUCAGCAAAAGAAAAAUAUUCAGUUUUAUGUUCAACAUCAUCUCUAGUAUCUGACCCCAUAUCAAAUAAGUCUCUAAGGGUGUUACGAAGAAUAAAAAACCAACCCAAUUUUUUGGGGUUUUUAGAAUAAAAAACUUGUUUAACUUGAGAGGAAAAAACAUAAGGUUCAUCAAUGAGUUAUUGUUUGGUGUGAAUUAAUUGAGAAAAAUUCACGAUUAUAAAUCCAAACUAAUUUUUCUUAAUACCACUCAUAUUAUUCACAUUAGCCUAAUCACAUCAAAAUAAAACCAUUUUCCAUUUGCCAUAAUAAUCUAACUCGUGUAUGUUAUUAAUCAUGCCAUAAUAGUCAAUAUUUCCUUCUAAAAGGUUUGUGUCCCUAGCACUAGCAUAGCUAAUAAUUGACAAUGUAAUAACAAAUCCUAAAUUUUAUGUUCUUCUAAAUCUCUCAUGAGAUUUAGUGUUAAAUUUAAAUCCAUCGAUGAUGAAGCCUUUGUAUUGUUUCACAAUCCUGUUUAGACCUUGUAAAAUACACUUCACAUUUUCACUAAUAAGCCUUCUACUUCAAACCUAUAAAUGUGGAAUAAAAUAUAUGUUAUUAAUUUUAUUUAUUCACUAAGCAUUCUAUGUACAAUUUUCAUGAUGGAAAGUAUGGCAUUAUUUAUAGUUUCUCCUAACCAUUUAUGAAAAUUUUUGGUGAACAUCUUAUCAAACUCUCAAGGGUUUGAUCAUUAAUAAGUGUACGAGCUCUCAAAUUAUUUUUAUACUCACUAUAUACAUCAAGAUAAAGUAUUAACAAUAAGAAAAAUAUAAUAAAUUACGCUUAAUAGAACGAAUAAUUUCCUCGCAUAGAAACUAAUGUACGAAAUUAUUCAAUUAAGUCAUGAUGGAAAAAAAAUAUCGAUGUGCCUGUGCUCAAGAUUUAUCAUCUAACUCAAUCAUUUCAGCUUUGCCUAUUCGUUGUCUAAAAUUUUCAAAAAGAAAUUUGACAAAGUUAGUAUGCUGCAUACCAAGAUUUCUCGAUGGUCUAUUAAAUCUCAUUUCAACAUCUUUCAAAUAACGAGAACAAAAUGUCAUACACUCCUCUGCUAAAUAUUCUUCAGUAAUAGAACCUUUCGGAUAGUGUUUAUUGUGACAAUAAGACUUUAACCUCCUAAAAAACGUAAGGCAUAAACCAUUUGUCAUAUACAUUUUUAACUAGAAUGGUUUGAUCAACACUAACAACUUAAUCAAGAUAUUAACAAAUAAUACCUUUUGAUAGAAUACUUUCAUUGAUAAUAAAUUGAUUCGUUGAUUUUUGUUUCAUAUGGAACAUGGAUAACCAAAUGCAUCAUAAUAGUGAAAAAGUUUGGAGAAAAAAUCUUCUCUAAAUGGUAUAAAGUAAUCUCAGCUCGAUCUUGAAGUUUGUCAAGCUCUUCCACAUUCACAACUUUUCAACAGAGAACUUUAAAUAUAUUACUCAAUCAAUUACCAUUAAAGUGAUUUGCUUUGACAUUGAUGAAUAUAAAGCAAUGGGAAGUAAGUUUUGCAUCAAGAUGUGGUAAUCAUGUGACUUUAAUGAAAAAAGUUUUCCCUCAUUUAGAUUCACUCAUCUUAAUAUAUUUAAUGUAUAGCCAUAUGAGACUUUCACAUUUUUUAAAACCUUGUAAAACACAUCUUUAUCACCUUUAGACAACUUAAAACAAGUAUGAGGCAAUCAAGAUUUGCAUUAGAAAGCAAUUUGAAUGAAAGUGAGGGUGAAUCCCCAUGUCAACUAGGUUAAGUUGACUCUUUAAGUCAUCAUUUAAUCUUUUAUUCACAUUAAGAAUUAUCCCAAUAAAAUUUUUACAAACAAUCUUUUCUAUGUGCAUCACAUCAAGGUUAUGAUAUAAUAAAUUAUAUUCUCAAAAUAAGGCAAUUAAAAAAAAUACAUUUUUUCCAUAAUAUAGACUCAUUAAGGUCAUAUUCUUCAUCUUCCCCUUCAUCACUUUGACAUCAACAUCACCAACUUGAGCUUCAACAUCACCAACUUAAGCUUCAGCAUCACUAACUUGAAGAAUAUGAGGUCAGAUAUCUUCAAAGAUCUCCCUUACUUUUUUUUUUAAUUGAGUCAUUUUUUCAUAAGUGAAAUUGAUAUCUUUUAAUUUUAGCAAGAUAUCGACCUAACAAUUAGUAAGGGUGUUCUCUUCAACUCUUUAGUUCCAUCAAAGAGAUGUUUUUAGAAUUUAAAUUGAUGAUUAUCAUCUAACCAUUGACAAUGUGCUAUAUAACUGAACUUUCUACCAUUAUGUAACCUCUUCAAACAUAUCUACGCAUCAUAACAUGGACAAGCAUAACUACCUUUGGUGCUUAAACCAAAUAAAUUUGCAUAAGCAAAAAAAUCGUUAAUAGUCCAUAAUAAGGUAGCAUGCAUAUUAAAGUUUUUUUUUAAAGCAUCAUAUGUCUCAAAUCAUUCCCAUAAUUGCUUUAACUUUUCAAUUAGAGGUUAAAAGUAGAUGUCUAUAUCAUUUCCUAGACCUUUGUUUCCAUGAAUUAUCAUAGACAAGAUAAACAACUAUUGUUUUAUGACAAUCCGUGAUGACAAAUUAUAAGGAAUCAAUACAACUACCCAAGUACUAUAAGCAACACUCAUCACUUUGAACGGAUUGAAUCCGUUAGAUGCUAAUCCAAGCAUAACAUUUUGAGGAUUAGAAGCAAAGUUUAAAAACCUAGAGUAAAAUUAUUUUCAUUCCAAAGAAUCAACAAGAUGCCUUAAUAAUCCAUUAUUCAUCCACUUGUUAUGAUGCCACCUCAUAGAAUCGAUAAUUUUGAAAGAUAUGAAAAGUCAUUAAAGUCUUAGUAUUAAUGAAAAAUAUCAUAAAACUUUUAUAGGUUUUUUUUUUAACAUAGACUUCAUCAUCAUCCUCAUUCAACUUUUAUUCAAAAUUUGUGUCCACCUAAUGAGAAUUGUCACACACAUGAAAAGAUUGUUGAUUUUUUUAUCACUCUAAUACAACAUGCAAUCAUUAAGACAACUAUGAUUUUCUCAUAUCUAAGACCUAAUUCCUUUAUCAUCUUCUUUAAAUCCUUAUAAGAUUUAGAGAUUUUUACAAAAAGAAACAUUUCUUUCAUAAACUUCAAUAAUAAAGUCAAAGAGGUUUUUCAUCUAUCCACAUAAACAUUUUAAGUGAAAAAGGCACACUUAGAAAGACAACUUUAAAUGCUUAUAUCCCUUGUAAAGUUCUUCAUUCAUAUCCUUAAGCAACCUAUAAAAUUUUGAUGAUUCUCCACUAGGUUUUUGGUCACCUACACCUAUCCCAUGUUCACCAAAUUCAUUCAUUUCAACAUUUGAUUCAUUAAAUCCAUCAUUUGUUUUCACUCAUUUCAUUUCCCUUGUUUUGAACUAUAUAUGAAUUAAUUUUAAGAGAUAUUUCAAAGAAUGAUAAUAUAAAAGUUUUGACAUUUUUUAUCAUUAUUAUUUUAUUAAUACCAAAACUAUUCUUUUAAAGGAAGUGAAAAUCAGUGUGAUUUUUUUUGCAUAUAUUUUAAAGUAGUAAAAACUUGUAACAGCCCUAAAGUUAUUGUUUUGAAGAUAUCAUAUGUGUUAAGGUUAGUGGGGGUUAAUAGGCUAUUGGUUUAGGCUUGUUUUAGAUAAAAAAAAAAAAUUAGUAAUUCAAUUAAUUCUAAAUUUAUUGAAAAUGAUCUCAUGUUGUGUUGUAUGAACAUAUGAAUAUGAAAUUUUGUUCUUAAUAUGUUAGUAACUUGUAAGUGGCUUAUUAAAGUGACAUCAUGAAAGUUUAAGAACAAUAAUAGUUAUCGCAUUUGGCAUAAGGGUGGAUAAUACAUAUUUUUUUCAUGAUUCCAUUUAUUGAAGUGCUUCUUUUUUAUUAAGCAUGUUUGUGAUUCGUUAAAUCAGUGGGCGUCAUUGUGAUUUGAUUAUAUCACGACAUAUUUUUUUUGUGUGAGGAUUAUGUUAUUACCAAGCUCAUAAUAUAGAUAUUUACAGGUAUGAAAAAUAAAACUUGUUAAGGUAUUGGGUUGAUUAUGGCAAUUAUGCAUUCUAAAUUUACUUUUGAAAUCAUUAUUGUUUUGGGUUUCUUUACUUUAUUAAAUGUAUCACAUGUAAUUGCUAAUUACUUAUAAGAUAUGGUUUGAGAUGAAUAAGUCUAUGUGAUACCAUCAAGUUAAGUGGACACAAUUGUUAUAUAUAUAUAAUAGUUGUUAUUUGUAUAUAUGUUUAUUAUUACAUGUGCGCAUCCGUAUUGACAAGUCAUAUUAUAAAACCUUAAGAUUUGGUAUUUGUAGGACUUUGAUAUCAUUUAAGUAUGUCUCAAAAAUAAUAUCAGCAAGUAACUUUGAGGAUAAAAAGGAGAUGUACAACCAUAUUUGAAUGCCAUAAAAAUUUUUCAACAAGUUUAGAGAAAUCGACAAGAGAAUUAACAAUGAAAAUAACUCAUUGAUAUAACAUUUAAGUGUUAUUUUCUUACUACACAGCUACAUUGAGAUCCAUUGUUGAUAGGGUCACUGGUAUUUAUAAUCAUAGAUUGGUCUUAUGCCAAUAAGGGGCAUAAGGGCUAUCAUAAUUCAAUAUUAAAAGGCUUUAUUAGAUAAGAUCAUUAAGAUGUUGUCUCAAGGGUUAAAUUAUUUUUAAAAUUGUGGCCAUAUCAAAAUAAAAUUAAUUAACCUAGAGUCUUGUUUUUUAAAUUUAGUCCUAAUAUGAGACAAGUAUAAGAGCCAAAACAAAUAAUUGUGAUCACUUAUAUAUAAGCUUUGCACAUCUUAUAGGGUUAGUGUAGUUUAGCGAUAAUACGGGCCUUUGACCCGUUAAACCUUUAAUAGAAAGUUUUCUAGGGUUUCAAUAAUAUUUGGUUAACUUACCCUCUUCACUUCUAAUUAAUGGUAUCUAUCCAUUGAAAGCUGCUAGUAAGAGAAGAGCAAAGUGGAAAAUAUAGUCUCUUUAAUAAUUGAUGUUACUUUUGCUUAUAUUUUAUAAUUGCCCAAAUAGGUACGUAAUAUAAUCAAAUUUGGUAUUCUAAUAUUUACAUAUGGUUAUUUGGAUUUAAGGUUAUACUUACAAGAUAAAGUAAACAAGAACCUAAAAGCCAAGUCUACCUUUUUUGCUUGAAAAAAAAAUGUCAUCUUUUUUUCAAACCCUUUUUUUCUGUCUCUUUUUUUGUGUGUUUUUUUUAAUACUAUUGGAUGGUUUUUGGAUUUUAGGUAUGUUAGUGUCAACUGUGAGGGCUUUCAGGUGUUGAUGGAUAUGAGUGAAGGGGUGGCUUGUUGGUUGAGUGGUGGAGUUUGUUUUUAGCUUUAUAGAACAAUUUGAGAUCUUGAAAAGGAUUAGGAUGCCAGACAAUAAGCUAAUGAGAAUUUUAGGAUCAUGAGAAAAAAAAGUGAUGGUUGGUAUAGGAUUAAAAGAACAAAGGUGAGUUGUAGGAAACAAAAUAAGGGUAGUAUAUUAUGAGGAUGAGGGAUUAGCAAGGUGGCUGGCAAGCUAAUACCAUCCCAAUUUUGGUUUUUCUUUUUUUUUUUUUAAUUUACUUAUUUUUUUGAAAAAUUUUUAAUUUAAUAAUUUUUUAAAUUUAAAAAAUGAAAAAAAAUGAAUUUUGGACUUAAACCCUUCAUGUCUAAACAUAAUACUUCUAAGCGUUAUAGCCCAAACAACUUAAACUAUUUGAAUUUGACUCUAAUCAAACCCGACAAAUAUAAAUGAAAUCUGAACAAAUAAUAUCAACUUAAUCGAGACAUUCAAAUAGUUUCGAGAUAAGCAUAAGAAAUCAAAAUUAUUCCACAUCAUUGUGAAGUUUUUGGAGUUUGGGUAUGCUAGUGUCGACUGUGAAGGCUUUCGGGUGUUGAUGGAUAUGGGUGAGGGGGUGGCUUGUUGGUUGAGUGGUGGAGUUUGUUCUUAGCUUUAUAGAGCAAUUUGGGAUCUUAAAAAGGAUUAGGAUGCCAAACAAUAAGCUAAUAGGAGUUUUAAGAUCAUGAGAAAAAAAAAGUGGUGGUUGGUAUAGGAUUAAAAGAACAAAGGUGAGUUGUAGGAAACAAAAAAAAGGGUAGCAUAUUAUGGGGAUGAGGAAUUGGCAAGGUGGCUAGUAGGUUGAUACCAUCCCAAUUUUGGUUUUUCUUUUUUUAAUUUACUUAUUUUUUAAAUUUUUUUAAUUUAAUAAUUUUUUUAAAUUUAAAAAAUGAAAAAAAUGAAAUUUGAACUUAAACCCUUCAAGUCUAAACGUAGUACUUCUAAGCGUUAUAGCCCAAACAACUUAAACCUAUUUGAAUUGGACUCUAAUCAAACCUAAUAGAUACAAAUGAAGCCUGAACAAAUAAUAUCAACCUAAUCAAAGCAUUCAAACCGUUUCGAGAUAAGCAUAAGAAAUCAAAAUUCUUCCACAUCAUUGUGAAGUUUUUGGAGUUUGGGUAUGUUAGUGUUGAUUGUGGAAGCUUUCAGGUGUUGAUGGAUAUGGGUAAAUGGGUGGCUUGUUGGUUGAGUGGUGGAGUUUGUUCUUAGUUUUAUAGAGCAAUUUGGGAUCUUGAAAAGGAUUAGGAUGUCAGACAAUAAGAUAAUGAGAGUUUUAGGAUCAUGAGAAAAGAGAGUGGUGGUUGGUAUAGGAUUAAAAUAACAAAGGUGAGUUGUAAGAAACAAAAAAAGGGUAGCAUAUUAUGAGGAUAAGGGAUUGGCAAGGAGGCUGGCAGGCUGAUACCAUCCUAAUUUUGGUUUUUUUUUAAUUUACUUUUUUUUUAAUUUUUUGAAUUUAAUAAUUUCUUUUAAAUUUAAAAAAUGAAAAAAAAAAGAAUUUUAGAUUUAAAGCCUUCAAGUCUAAAUGUAGUACUUCAAAGCAUUAUAGCCCAAAUAACUUAAACCUAUUUGAAUUGGACUCUAAUCAAACCCGACAAAUACAAAUGAAGCCUAAACAAAUAAUAACAACUUAAUCGAGACAUUCAAAUAGUUUCGAGAUAAGCACAAGAAAUCAAAAUUUUUCUACAUCAAAUACCCAACAGUAAAAUUUUGAAAAAAAAAAUGUAUGAAUUUUUUUGAACCAAAUGCCUCUAGGACAAAAUUAGAUAUUUACAAAAAUUAUAAACAAGCCAAGCAUUCUUUUUUUAGUUGCAUACUAAAAUAUAUUUUAACUCCAUUUUUAGGUUGGAUACUAUUUAAAAAUUUUCUUUGUGAAGUAGUCAUUUCUAUUUAUUAAUUUGCUUACAAAGGUUUUCUUUUUCUUUCAAGGAAAAGAUAAAAUUAGCUAACAACAUAAACUCUUAAUUCUAAUAAUUAGAGUUUAAAUUCUAAUGUCAGUAAAAAAAAAAAAAAGAUGGAUUAGGCUUGAUAUUAGGCUAUAUAUGACAAAAAAUUGUCCAGUCAAAGGAAAAUCAUCUUGCCGUUGCUUUUCUUGUCUCUACUAUUAGGGUUUGAUAAAAAAUUAUCUUAAAUAAUCUCUUACAAAAAAUUUAAUGGAAGUUAUUCGAGGUGUUUCUGACCAAAAAUAUCUUCAAUAAUCUCUUGCCUUUUUUUAUUGAAUUAUUCAAGACGUUUUUAGCUAGAAAUGCCUUGAAUAACUCUAUUUAAUUUUUUGUAAUGGAUUAUUGAAAACAUUUUCAUGCCAAACGUCAUAUAUAAACCAAUUUUUUUAGCAACAGAAAUCUAUAACUGACUUGUAUUCAUCUAAACAUGCUUUUUAAAAUGGUAAUGGUUAUUUCACAAUUUUUUAAUCAGAUCAAAUUUGAAAAUAAUGCUACUUUUUACUUCGAAAUCUUAAAAUAUCAUAAGAAGAUAUAAGUUUUUGAUUCUGAAACUUUAGGUACUAUUAAAAAUCUAUCAAUUUUUGUAAAAUCAGAUUAUCCUUAACCAAAUGUUAAAAUCAAAUAUCUAACAAUAAGCAUUCUCUUUUUAGUUGCAUACUAAAAUAUAUUUUAACUCCAUUUUUAGGUUGAAUACUAUUUAAAAAUUUUCUUUGUGAAUAGUCAUUUCUAUAUAUUAAUUUGCUUACAAAGAUUCUUUUCUUUCAAAAAAAGAGACAAAAUUAGCUAACAGCAUGGACUUUUAAUUGUAACAAUUAGAGUUUAGAUUUUAAUGUCAGUAAAAAAAAAAAAAAAAAAAAGGAAGAAGAAGAGGAAGAAGAUGGAUUGGGCCUGAUAUUGGGCUGUAUAUGACAAAAAUUAUCCAGUUGAAGGAAAAUCAUCUUCCCGCUGCUUUUCUUGUCUCUACUUCUAGGGUUUAACUCUCCAUCAACAUCAAAUUUAGGGGUUUUGUUUCUGAUUCUCUGAAAGAAAGAAACGGCGUACUAAGUACUAAUACUCUGCUUCUCUGAACAUUCAUUUUUAUUGAAUUAAUUAUAAACCCUAAGCCCAAACAGGAACAAGAGAGAUAAAGAGAAUGAAGGUGAAAGUAAUAUCACGUUCCACUGAUGAAUUCACACAGGAACGAAGCCAAGACCUCCAGAGGGUGUUUCGUAAUUUCAACCCCAGCCUUCGAACCCAAGAGAGAGCCGUUGAGUAUGUCCGCGCUCUUAACGUCGCCAAACUGGACAAGGUUAAAUAUCGAACUUUGGGAUUGAGUUAGUUUGGUUUUAUUUGAAAAUCGCUCACUAUUAUUUGAUCACUUUGUUUAGAUAUUUGCAAGACCCUUUUAUUGGAGCUAUGGAUGGGCAUAGAGAUUCCAUCAAGUGUAUGGCCAAAAACCGAAAUUACUUGAAAGCAAUUUUUUCUGGUUCUGAUGAUGGAGGUAAACAUUUUAACAUGCUAUUUUUAUUUUUUUUUUCAUUUUUAUCUCUUUAGUGCCAAAUACCAAUCCCUUCAUAUGAGUAAGUAACUGCAACUAAAACUUUUGAUUUUUUAUCUCCCAUCCUUUUUCAGAUAUUCGUUUUUGGGAUUUAGCUUCCAAGUAUUUCUACACCUCUUUGAUUGCAGCUUUGGUUAGUUAGGAUCUUAAUAUUUUAACUCCCCCUCCCAAUCUUUCAUCAAAUGAUUAAAUAAAUUAGAGCUUUGAAACAAUGCUAUUAACAAUUACUUUCUUUUUUUCAAUUUCCUCAUAGUACUACAAUGAUGGUAGCAAUAGUGGUUUCAAGAUCAGUUUAGUAACUCAUUUAUUCUUCUCCAUUAAUGCUUUUGUGGUGGUUUCAUACUGUUACUUUAUUAUUUAAAAUGCACUGUGAUUUACAUAUUUUUGAAAUUUUGAUUCAAAGGCAAAUAGUUUGCCAAUUUCCUGGUCACCAAGGUGCUGUACAAGGUUUGACAGUAUCGACAGAUGGAAGCAUUCUUGUAUCAUGUGGAAGUGAUUGCACGUAAGACAUAAAUUUUAAUAGUUAAAGUUUAUUUCCAGCAGGGAGUGAAUGCCGAUUAAGCUGCAACUUAAAUAGUUGUACUAUCUCAAAUUAUCACCUAAAUUUUCUCACUCCUUUAAUCUGUACAUUUUUUAGUGUUAGGCUCUGGAAUGUUCCUGAUGCUACUCUUGCAGAUCUGGAUAACCUUUCUGAUAAUUCAGCCAAGGUAUGUCUCUUUAUAUAUUCUUGUAUUUCUGCAAAGAAUACUUUAUAGUUUAAUUUUUUUUCUCUCCAAUUCCUACCCUAAACCCUAGCACUUCCUCUUUUUACUUUCUAUCUUCCCACCUUUUUACUUUCUAUCUUCCUUGACCAAGAAUUCCAGUGCUAUCAUUCUAAACUAACUAAAACUGGUAUUUUUCAACCACUGGCAGUUUAUGUUUGGAAGAAUGCAUUUUGGUAAGGAUCAUGACUUGCUAGAAAGUAUCUUUGUUCUUUUAGCCUUUUCACCUUAUGGGCAGUAGUUCGUGGGUUCUUCUCCUCUUUUUUAGGUGUGAACUAUAAUCUUUACUCUUUUUCAGGGCUGUUGAUCACCAGCAGGAUGGUGAUCACCUGGUGCUCAAGUAGAUAUAUGGAAUCACAAUAGGUUUUGAUCCCAACUUGUCUUAUUUUUUUACGUUUUUUUUUACCCUUCAGCAGUAUGCUGAUUUAUUUAUUUAUUUAUUUUAUGAGAAUGUGGCUUUCUGUAAUUAAGUCUCAGCCAGUGAACACUUUUGAUUGGGGAACAGAGACCACAAUAUCUGUUUGAUUUAAUCCUGGAGAACCAAAUAUUUUGGCAACAUCAGCUAAGUAUGCAUAGAAGCCUGCACCUAGAUCGAGUAUUAUGUGGUUAACACAAUUGGUUUGUGAUAUAACGAUGAGUUCAAACCUCUCAAAUUUUCUAAUCAUCGUAUGCUUCAUCCUAAGUUAAAAUAGACGACUGAAACAGAAUGAUAAUGUUCUGCUUUCAUCCCUUGAAUCAUAUAUUGAAGAUAAAAUUAGGAAGAGGUAGAGUGUAGUGAGAUCCAUAAUGUCAACUAGCUUGUUUUGUAGAGUGACCAAAGCGGUGUAUCCUUCCAAUGAUAUAUUUGGCUACCAUAAGGUUCUCAUGACUCUUUCUAUGCUAUUUUGUGAUCUUGUUUCCAAGACAUAGCAGCUAGGAAUAGUGUCAUAUGCUAUUAAUCUAUGCUUUCCAGUCACAAUAGAUGGUUAGGUAGUUGAAAAUAUGUUGAUUUUUUGUUUAUGGUCAAUUCUUAUUUGAAGAAACACGAUCUUUUAUAAUUGAUCUUGAAUUUGAUUUAUGCUAUUCUGUAAUUUAAGGGAUUUUUAUGGGUGAUAGUAGUAUGUCAUUAACUCUUGAAAUAGGCUUCUAGCUAGCAGUUUUCAAUUUAAUGCUACUUUUAGUUCAUAUUUUGCAUGAAGUUAAACUUCUGAACCUUAAAGUUUGAAGCUUGGUUGUUAAUAUAAUCUGUAAAUUAAAAGAAAAUUAUUCAAUGUGGUUGCCAAUUUGUUUACAUAAAGCAAUUAGCUAUGUAGAUUGAUGUGCAUUAUGCAUUAUGUAGUCUGUCUUUGGUAAUUUGAUUUAUCUUCCCUACCUUUAUUUUAUUUUGGGGAACUCGGUUGCCCUCCUGAAAAUGCAUUUACUCAUUUACAAUGUUUUAGCAUGUCAUACAAAGAGUAUAUGAUUAUUUACAUCCAUUUUUGUUUUUAAUGACCGGAGCAUAACAUUAUAUGAUUGCGGAUGUCAUCCCCUGCAAGGAAAGUUAUCAUGAGGGUAAUUCUGGACACAUUUGAGUUUGAAAACAUGGAAUCCUUAUUUUUUGCUUGAAAUGAUAAAAAUCAUAUCAUUUUUAUUGCAAAUCUAAAUUUUUUUGCUUCUUUUUAUCCAUUAUAAAUGGUAGGUUAUUGUCCUUAGAAAAGCUGCAGAACUUGUUACAUUUAGAUUUAAUAAAUUGGAAUGCAAUAGAGCUUAGCAAAUAUAGCUUUUAGUGGUUGUUACUUUAAACUUUGCAUUUAAGGAUAGCUUUCCAACAAUAUGUAUGCAUUUUUUGGUCAAUAACAAUUUUUAUUGCAUAUACUGAUAGCUUUCCAUCAAUAUUAAAAUCAGCACUUUUUCACAGGCAAUCUGACUUGUAUCUUCUUUUUUACAGACAAAAACCAAUUCUAUUGCUUGGAAUCCAAUGGAGCCUAUGAACUUCACUGCGGUAAGGGGAAACAAGUUGAAGAGUCUUUCCAUGAAACAUAUGUUGACAUUUUCUUAUAUGAGCUUCUAGGAUGUUUAAGAUUGAUGCCAAUUCUUCUCAGUAAUUGAUAAAUUUUGCAGCAUUACUCCCCCACCCACCCAAAAUAAAUAAAUAAAUAACACAGAGAAGAAAAGUAAGAGAAAGGAAAUGAAAGAAAAAAGGAACAAAACAUUUGUUCAAGAAAUCUCUUUCAUGAAUAACUCUUUUAAAUGCAGGCAAAUGAGGAUUGCAACUGCUACAGCUAUGAUGCUAGAAAACUGGACGAGGCAAAGUGUGUGCUCAAAAACCAUGUUUCUAUAGUGUAUGACCUGUUUUUAGGCUUAUUCUGGUUAAGUAAUCUAUUUUCAUGAAAAUAUUAAUUUCUCACCUUUUCCUUCCAGAAUGGAUUUUGAUUUCUCACCAACUGGUCGAGAAUUUGUAACUGGAUCUUAUGAUAGAACAGUGAGCUGUCUUUCUUUCUUUUUCUUUCAAUUUUAUGAGGAUUGUUUCUAUUCACCAAGGAUGUUGUUGGUUUCUUCUAUAUACAGGUUAGAAUUUUUCAGUAUAAUGGUGGUCACAGUCAAGAAAUCUACCAUACAAAGAGAAUGCAAAGGUUCAGUUUCCAAUCAUUUAGAUAAUAAGGAUCUUUCAGUUUAUUGAGUCUGUUUUCUUUAUUUCUGAUUGUUUUUCCUCUCCUUUUAGGGUAUUUUGUGUGAAGUAUAGCUGUGAUGCCAGUUAUGUCGUUUCAGGUAGUGAUAACACCAACCUAAGGCUCUGGAAAGCUAAAGCAUCAGAACAAUUAGGAGUAGUAAGAAUCUCUUGAUUUGACAUCACUCAUUGGAAUUUCUACAUUUAAAUCAUAUUUCUUAAUGCAAGAUAACUGAGAAAUUUGUUGAAACUGUCUUACCAACUGAGAAUCAACAUUUUUAACAGAAAGUAUGUGGCCUGUUUAGGCUUCAAACACAAACUACAGUAUUUAUUUAUUUCAUAAUUUUCUUCGGAUUCUAAUGGUUGCAUUCCAAACUCCAGAUGAUUUUAAGAGAGAUUUCUUUACAUAUUCAUUGUUGCAUUUCAUCCAAGAUGUGUACCUGAAAAGAAAUUUCUCUUGUUGCAUCUCACCUAAAAUUCAUAACUAUUCUUCUUAUUUCUUAUGCAGGUACUUCCAAGGGAAAAAAAGAAGCAGGAAUAUCUUGAAGCUCUUAAGAAUCGCUACAAGCACCUUCCUGAAGUCAAGCGUAUUGUGAGGUAAAAUUGAAAUUGAAGAAUUCUCAUUUCUUAACCCAUGACAAUUUCAAAACAUGCCCAUAUUGCCCUCCCUUUCUUGAGGAGUUCCCUUGGGGUGGGCAUUCAAAACUAUGCACUAGGAAAUUUAUUUAUCAAGCCUUGUUCUUUUCUUUCUAGUCUUUUGACAUGAUAUUAUAUUUUGUUUUAUUUGUAAGAUGAUAAAUGAACUUAAGAGCAGGAGAAAUUUUCAAGCUAUAUUUAAUGAGAACAAAUGAUCUUCGUAUUAGGUUCUUAAUGCUCCUGAAUUGGUUAUGAUUAUGCAGGCACAGGCGCUUACCAAAACCAAUUUACAAGGCCGCCAACCUCAGACACACAAUGAUUGAAGCAGAAAGAAGGAAAGAACAAAGAAGAAAAGCUCAUAGUGCUCCUGGAAGCAUCGUGACUAAGUCAAUUCGUAGAAGAAGAAUCAUCAAAUAGGUUGAGUGAGUUGAACAUUAACUUAUCUCCAGGAACUAUGCUUUGCACAUCAAUCAUCCCUACACAUCUGCUGUUAUCUGUAGUUCAAUGGCAGUAGACUGCAAAUCCCAAGUUCUAUGACGUUUGCUUUGAAUCCUCAGCUGAAUGUUGGCUGUAGCGAGAUGAAGCAGGAUCUUUUGUUUUUUCUUACUCUAUCUUAACAGUUUUGUCACACAAAAAGUUGUUGAUAUUUUUGUAAUUGGAAUGUUUAUCAUAAUCUAGUUAUGAAAAAUGGAUACUUAGAUUCCUUCAAUUGCAGUUGGCUUUUGCUUUUCUCAAUUCUCUUCUCCGUUUUGGCUAUUUGUAUCCAAUCAUUGUCUCCACCAUCAUAAGGUACUCGUUUUUUUGGUCAACAUAAAUUCUAUUUUGAUGCGAGAGUUGCUUUCUUCACGGGCCCAAAGUUAGUUAAACGGAUGUAAAGAAUAAACAUUUGCAAAUUGUUUCCUUUCUUCUUAUCGAUGCUCAUAAAUUAUUUAAAUUUAACUCAAAUAAAAUUUAAAUAAAAUUUAAAUUCGAUUUGAUUUGAUUAUUAUCAAAUCAAACUCAAGCAAUUUUAUUUAUUGAACAAAUAUAAUUUAAAAUUUUUAAUACUAACUUGAGUGACUUACAAUCUUAAUUGAAUUUUUACUUUUUAUUAUAUAUUUUUAUUGUGUUAAUUAAAAAAUUAUUAUUAUAUAUACUAGUUUUAAGUCUAUGCAUAACACAAGAUAAGUAAAUUAAUUAUAAUUUUAUUACAUAUUAUAUUAUUUAAAAUCAUUUAAUAUGCAGAACUUGGUUUUUGUAUUAUAAAUUUAUAAAUUUGUGAGAUAAACUUGAAUUUUCUUUUUGCAUCUUUAAUUUAUGAAAAUAGAAUACAUAUAUUUUCAAAGAAAAUAAAUAUUGUGAAAUAAUUGUUAUAUAUUAUUAAUGAUUUAAAUUAAUAAAGAUCUAAUUUCUACACAAAUAUAUCAAGAAACAUCAUAAUAAGAUAAUAUAUUAAAAUAUUAUUUCAAAUUUCCAAUUAUCGAAAUAUAUACUCGAUGUAGAAACAUUUACAGCUUUCUAUCAACGAAAAUGAAAAAAAGAACGCUUAUAAUAUAAUUAUUAAACAGAUACAAUACAAAGCACAAACCAAAAAACCAACUAAUUUUAUGCAGAAUUUUUUUUCUUAAAAUUGCAUUUUGCAAUUCUAUACCAAACAAAGUCACUCACUAUCUUUCAUUACUCUUUCUUAAUUUUUUUUUUUUCUUCUUCUUUUUCUUGAUUUUUUUUUCAAUUUAAGGCUAAAUAAAAUACAUGUAAGGAGAUUAAUGAAAAAAAACACAUCAAUAUGCUACUAAGAAAAUGAUUGAAAUAUAUGAUAUUAAUUUUCCAUACUCAUUCUUUUCAUUGAAAAUGUAUUUUAUAAGCUUACCUCUCUAUUGAGCUUUGUCAUUACUUUUUCAACUACCCAUGCUUUGAAAUAAAUUCUUUUAAUUUUUCAUUGCAAAAAGAAAAAAAAAUAAAGCAUAUAUAAUAUUCAUGAAAUUUGAAUCUCUUCAAGGGUUUGAGCCUUUUCCUCGUGCAUUGAAAAAGAAUUAUAACAAAAAAUCCAAAAAUAUUAUUAAUAUGAAAGAACAAUGUAGAUUAAUGUAAAAAUGAAUUGCAAAACCCAUACACAACAAUGAAAUAUGAAGCUUGUAAAAUAAAGUAAUUCAAUUCACAAUUAUAUUUACGUAUAUUAAAAUGAGUUGAGAAUAAAAUUAUUUUAUUAAAAAGAAUUGAGAAUAAAAAUUAUUCACGCAUGAUCAUAAAAAAAUAUUUUUUUUUAUUCAAUUCUCACUAAAUUAACGUACAUAUAGUGAGAUUUUGCUAGCUUAAGACCAAAAAAAAAAAAGGAUAUAAAAUAUUUCCAAAACAUGAUCGUGGAAAAAAAUAAGCAAAUAUUUUGGUUUUCUAUAUUUAGGGUUGCAACAAUUAGUUAAUUGAAAAAUACAUUUUAUUUUAUUUGAAUCAAAUAUGGCUGUAUCAAUUAAUCAAAAAUCAUUUUUUUACAUGAAAACCUAGAAAUAUAGUACCGUUAAUUACGCUUUGAUUAUAUUUUCUUAAAAAAGUAAAUAUAAUUAAUUUAAUCAGAAUCAAAUUAAUUAAGAAUUAAAAAUAAUUAAGAAAAAGAUUUAUCAAUAAAAUUAGUUUCAUCAAGAUCAAAUCAAAUUAAAUAAAAAACAUUAAGUAAUAGAUAUAUGAUAAUUAUCAAGGUUUUCCUGUGUUAAAAAAGCUAGACUAUCCAAUAGGAUAGUUUUUUUUUACCCAAAAUUUUUAUUUUUAUAUAUCUUAUAUAAAUAUAAGAUAUUUUAAUUAAAAAAAAUAUUGAUUUGUGGUUUAGUAAAUAACUAAAUGUUUAACAACAAAACUAAAAAAAAAAAAAAAAAGGGAGAAUGGAAAUAAAAAUGCAAAAGAACAUGUAAACUAUAGUAAAAAUGUCAAUUAAUAUCAACAUUUCUUUAUCUCAAUACAGAAGGAAAAAAAUUAAAAAAAAAAAUUUCAAAUAUACAAAAUAAAGCAAGUCAUGCUAUAAAACAACAACAAAUCUGCUAUAUAAUUAGAAAGAAUUACUCUAUCAUCGUUAAGUAUUUAUAGCCUAUAAAAAAAAAAAGAUAAAAACAGAUUUCGCACCAAUAGAAAAUGGAAAAUGCCCUAAAACCUGCACAUUUAUCAAAUCAAAAAAAAAAAAAAAAUCAAAUGUUAGAUAGCAAAUAGGUAUUAUUUAUCAAUUAUAUAUGCUAACUACAUAUAUUGUAGAAAACCUGGAAUUAACAAAGUUCCAUUAACCAAAUACAGUAGUGUACAUCAAGAAUAUUACAAUUACUUGGGUCAAAAGGAGAGAGUUAGCAAAAAGUGUACUAUAACGAAAUUGCAUAAAAAAAAAAGUGUAAUAUUUUUCAAUUUUAGCAAAGAAGAUAAACAAACCACUUACAUUUGACUUAUAAGAUAAAUUAAUCAAGUUUGAAAAAUAUUGUAUUUUUUGUGGUUACACUUAAAUCUUCAAGUUGGAGGCGAAAUUUCAUGAAAUAUUUGAGAAUUUUUGCAUCAACCAUGACCGAACAAAUAGAGAUAAAAAAUUAUAAAAAAAAAAAAGAGAUACGAAGUGAUAAAAAUAAUUAUUCUAAUUCAAACUGUAAAAAUAUUGUAAACAAUCAAAUUAAGUUUUCAUUUUCAUUACAUGAUAAAGGUAAAAAAUUAAAACUAAUCAAAGCACUCCUAAUUUGAAAUAUAAAUUAUUAAACAAAUACUAAGUGAAUUAGGUGGGUGGAGCUUUACCUAGAUGCAAAGCCAAUGCAUUUGAAAAAUAGCCUCUCAUGCAGUUUAACAUAUCAAGAUGCCCUAUUUAUAGUAGAAAAUUUUUAUGGGUAGAACAUAAUCAAUAAAGAAGCUUUAUAUAAGUUCUAAUUGCAUAUUCAUUUAGGCAUAAUUUAUAUAAAAAAAUUUAGGCAUAAGUUAUGCAAACCAAUUAUAAUGAGUUUUUUUUUUUUUUUUUGAAAAAUUUUCGACUUGUUUAUGUUUUUGUUCCGAAAAGUCCAUACCCAUAACUUAAGAUUUGAAAUUUUAUAUUGAAAGAUAAUGUUUAUUGAAAACUAAUUUGUUAAUAAGCUCGUAAAUAUCAACUAGAAGAAACAAAAAAAUAUUCACCGUUAAUGUGCUUUCUUCUUUAAUUUUAAUUUUUUGUAUUAAUGAUCAAAUUAAUCGUAAUUCACUCACAGAAAGCAAGGAUAUUAGAUAUUCAAAACAAAUAUAUGUAAUUCAUUUAAUUAAAAUAAAUUAUUUUUAAAAAAUGUAUUAAAUUAAAUUAAAUGUGUUAAUUAAUAAACACAUAGCUCUAACGUAGAAUAUCCAACAUGUUAAAAAAAUAAAUAUCCACAUAAGACAAUUAUCAUUUUUGUCAACGGCUUUAGCUUUUUAUAUAUUUAUAUAAUAUAUUUAUUUAAACUCAAAUACAAAUAAUUGAAGUUAAAAUUAAAUAUGAGAUUCAAAUUUUUUUUUUUUUUCAAAAAACAAGUUUAUUUGAAAAAAUUCAAAUAAUUUAAUUUUUAUUUAAAAUCAAAUUCAAACUUAAAAAUUAAAAAUCAAUCGAAUUCAAAUAAAAUUUUGAAUCGAUUUGAAAUUUCUCGAUUCAACCCGAGUACAUCCGUACCAUGGAAGUUCUUGUAUUAUCCAAAUGCUACAAAGCAAAUUCAUCCGGACGUGACCGCUAGAAUCAAGGCCAUCACCACUAGAAAGAAACAAUAGAUGGCAAAAGAAGAAAAAAAAGACAUCAAUAGUUUCACCUUUUAAAACAUACAACAAAAGCCUAAAACCAAGAUAUUGAGACAGCAGCAGGCAGGAUUUGCAGAUCAUCAAUAGUAGCGAGGAAAACUUCCAAUUUUGUCCUAAAUAUGGUCCAGCACCUCUUACAAAAUACAUAAAAAUACCAAAUGUUAUUCCAGAUAUUACACUAUAUAUAUAUAUAUAUAUAUAAUAAAGUCCCAUUAAGGUCAUGUUUCCGAUCAUCUAUCAUCCUCAUCAUCCAGAAUCACCCACUCUCCCGGAAACGUGGAUUCUUCUCCUGUUGGGUCAAAAUAGAGGUUUAAAGCAUGCAACAAAAAGUAUUGAUUAUACAAUUUGUCAUACAAAGUGAAAAGGAAAUGGAGAUUUGAAAAUGCAAUUAGCAUCCUUGCAUUUUUUAAUCUUUUUUCCUUUUAAUUUUCUCCCUUUCCCAUAUUGCAUUUUUCCUAAAGCUUAUCUAUUUCCAUCCCAAAGUAUCUCCUGACUAGCAGUGUUAAUAAGCUAAUAUACUCAGUGAAUUACUCAAGCUUGGCUCGUAAAUCACUCAAACUUGACUCCAACAAUGCUAAGGCAAGCUCAAGUUUGAGUAGCUUGAAUUAUUGAAUGGUUCGAGCCUAGUAUCUUAAUGCUCGGGUCAAGUAGCUCAUAAGCUUAUUCAAGAUUUUUUAUUUUAAAAUUUUUUACUAUAUAUUAAUAUUAUAUAUAGAUCAUUUUUAAUUAUCUAUGAAUAACUUUAUCCUCGGUAUAUAUAAGAAAAAAAUUAAUUUUCUCUCAAUUUGAGCUUGAGCUUGAAUAUUCAAUAAUCGAGUUUGAGGUCAAAUAUAGUAAUUGAACUUGUAAAUUUUACUAGGUUACGAGCUUAUUCAAGUGAGCUUGAGUAACUCAAUUUCCAUCUCGAAUCGAGCUCGAGUUAGAAAAAUAGAUCUUGAUCGAGCUCAACUUGAACUUCAAGCAAUGACCUUCAAGUUGAGCUCAAAACUUUUAGUGUUUUGGCUCGACUCGACUUAAUUACACCCCUACUCCUGACAACUAAAACAAAGGAACAAGUGCAAGUAGGGGAUACCAAUAAUUCAAAAUUUAUUGAUCAAACAAUAAACUCUUCAUAGUGCUAUUAAGCAUUACCGGUCUAGAAUCAUGGUCUGAAUCUCUCCUGGGUUCAUGAUCUGAAGUUCUCUUUGAGGACUCGCGUGCAUAGCGGUCAUCAUCUCGAUGUCGCUUCCGAUGGUAAUCUACUUUAUGGACAAUUAGUCAAAUAUAGGAAUAGCUCAAACAAACAUAUAUAUAACAAGAAUAAUUAGACGUACUAUUCAAAGGUAUAUACCUCUCCCAUGACGAUGAGAACCUCCAUGGCCAUGGCCCCCACCAUGCCUACCAUCUGCACUUACAAGAUGUCAGUAUGUUUAUCUCCUUUCUGAGCAUAUUAACACCCAAAACAACAUGAGAUGCACAUUAAUGGACAGAAAAGCCUAUAAGCAAAUAAUAAGUUAAAUGGUAUCCAGGAGAUUGACUUCAGUACACAGGAUUAAUCACACAGGGAUCAAGUGAUAUCGGUAAUGAAUUUUUCUGGUAAACUGAGAAACAAAAGAAAUAAAUAUACCUAACUGCCAAAAGCACACAAUCUACAAUCUAUCAAGAAUAUGAUCAUAAGUACAGUUUUGCCAAAUAUGUUCCUAAUUUACAACACACCUCAAAGGAGAGGGCAGCCAUUUCAAAUAGACCUUGAACCUUCCUUUCUGCUGAUUAUCAUUUUACAGUUUCUGGUUAAAACUAUUUGCUUCUCUUUUUCUUGGCUCUUUGAUAUAUAGCAUGUAGUCUAAGCAUGUACUAUUGUACCAACAGGAGUAAGAAUAGUAGAUUUGACAAAUCAUAUUAGAUUCUGCCAUCUAAACUCACUUUCAAACAUUGCUAGUAAAAUAAAUAAACUUGCAGCAUUUCUCCAAACUAACCAGUGAAUGCCCGUUUCUCUCCCACAAACAUUUAAAAUGAGCAAUAGGCAACCUUAAGGCAAAAGAAAAAAGGAAUAAUUCUAACUGACAAGCUAGAGAUCCAUUUCUAACAGUCAUUAGAAACUCACAAUGCGCAGGCACAACGGGUGGGAAUGGGCCCAGUGACCCAGCACCAUAAUCUACAAGCUGUCUUUGUGCUUCCAACUCUCUCUGAACUAAUUUUCCGUAGCCACCUCUGCGUAAAGCAUGUUAAGGGAGGAGACCAUAUAUAUAGACAAAAGACAUGCUGAAGAGACCUCGACUCUUUAGAUUUGGAAACAAGUGACUAUCCAAAAUUAUGAAUCAAUAUUAGACUUCAUUAUUCAUAAAUAUGCAUCUUUUGUGUGUCUGAACAAUAUAAGAAAUUAUGAGCAUCAAAAUUCAAAAAUAAAAGCCGAAAGGAUAUCAGGAUCAUAAUCAGUUCGAUAUUCAUCUCGCACCUGCAAAAAUAUAAAACUAAAUCAAUUCAUAUACUAGAAAUAUAAAUUUGGCAACACUCUCCAUCUCAUUUUACAUAUCUUAAUUCCAUAAUAUACAAGUCCAAAACUAUACAUCCAAUUCGAAGACCUUCUCUUUAAAAUGUGCAUUUGGUCAAACAUUUGUAAAAUUGUAGGCACAAUAAAAGAACUCACUUGGCCACCACUUCGACCACGGCCCCAUUGCCUUCCUUCAACAAAACCCCAAUCAAAAUCUACACGAAUCGGACGGUCGUCAAGAAUUGUCCCACUAAUGUAUUUAACGGCAUCCUCUGUAUCUUCCCUAGAAUAAUACCUGAUGAUGAAGAAAAAAAAAUCCAACAGCAAAUUAAUAGCUUUAAAAUAAAGACAAAGAUUAACAUGUUCUAGGGGGAAAAAAUGAACAGAGAGUUACAAGACAAAGCAAAAGCCGCAAGGUGUUUUAGAGUUCUUGUCGAGGCCCAUGAUUAUUUUCUUAAUUUCACCGGCUCGUGAGAAAAGCUCGUAAACUUGUUCUUCAGUUGUGUAAAAAGACAUGUUUCCGAUAUAGACGGUUGUGGAAGUAAGGAGUGCUUGCUCGAAAUCCUCUUGCGUACCAUUAAAUCUUCUGUCCCGGUACGCUGAAAGCUUAGCUGGGUCCUAUGAUUUAACCCCAACCAACACCCAAAUUUAAAUAAUCAGAAAAAAAUUAUCACUAAUAAAUACCUUUUGAAAGAAGCUGGGAAAGUGAAUAAUAUACCCUGAACAGAGAAGCCAUUGCCUUCUUCAAAUGCUCCCAAAAAACCGUAUUUUCUGCAGGUUGAGGUUUUGCCCUUGAUAAACAGUACAAGCGCAUAACCCUCGCCUUUUUGCAGCGAAAUUGGGCCGUACCGUAUAAAAAAGGUUUGUUGAAGCCUUCGGCCCAUUUUUUACCCACUCUGCUUAUUUGGAUUCUCAAAGCCUGGUAAAAAAUUGCGUGUUAUAGUGGGGAUAGUAAGAUUAAUUGUUAUAAUGAUGAAAUUAAAAAUAAGAUUAAAAUUAAUUAGAUAUCAAUCUGUGUCUUUAUACAAAAAUUUUUUGUGUGCGUGUACGAGAUAUCGAAUCUUACAAAUUUCCUAGAAUGUAUUAUAAAGAUAGAAUUAAAAAUAUCUAAAUGUAUUAUAUUUGUGUUUAUGUACCAAAUAAAAGAGAUUAAAAGUUACGCAUACAAAAAAAUUUGGUGAAAGAUUAAAAACUAAUAUUUCUUUUUCUUCGAUUCAUGCAUCAUAAAAUUCCAAUUUCAUGCUAAAAAGAUAAAAAUACUAACCAAUAGAGAAAAAUAACGAAAAAAAAAAAAAAAAAAAAAACUCCCUACCUGUAGCUACAUUAUAUUAGCAUGGUUUUCCAUCCAUGCUCAAUUCUCGGAAAAAGCUUCUUUCAAAAUUUUAACAUAUAAAUUUAUAAAUCUACAAAUAAAUACUUAAAAUAUAAAAAAAAAAAUACUUAAACCAAUGAGACAAAGUAAAAGAAGAUAAAUAAUUUACUGCUAUGAGAUCAUUGAGAAUGGCUUGUUUUGAAGUUGCAAUGAUUGAUAUUGCAUAAAGUUUGAUAUGUUAGGCAAGCUUUUCAUCUUGAUCUCCCAGCUAUGAAAAUUAUAAAAAAAAAAAAUCAUUAUAUCUCAUGUUUUUGGUACAUGUGCAUAUAUGUGUACAAUCCUUUUUCCUAGCUUAUUUAAAAUUGUAAAUAAAAAAUAUCAUUUCACUUAUUCUUCAAGAAGAAGUUUAUUUGCAAAAAUUAAAUCAACUUACUUAACAAUGUAUUAAUACUCUCACACUAUGUUUGGAUUGAGGAGAGGGAAAGGAAAGAAAAGGAAAAUAAAAAAAAGUAAUGGAAAUAGAAAAAAAAAUUUAUUUAAAUAAACGUUUAAUUUAAAAGAAAGAAAAUAGGUGAAAAUCAAAUAACCUUUAGUUUAUCUUGUAAUCUUUACUUUUUUAAUACCUCAAUUCAUAUUUUUUAUAACAUUAGAUUUGAUUAUAUAACUAAUACCUUUUACAAAGAUAAUUUCUUUUUAUGAGUAUUUUAUAUAAUAUCACAUUUUAUAAAUAUUUUAUAAUUUUUUAGGUCUUAACAACAAAACACGCCAAUUUAUUGUUAGAAUAAAUUAAAAGGUUAAAUUAAAUACAAAAUUAAGAGUAAAUCAAUAACUAGUUAAUAUAUCUUACCAUAUUAAAAAAGUUUAAUUUUAUUUCGAAAGAUUUGUUUAUACAAGUUAGGUAAUAUAAAGAUAUAUUUGUAUAUUAUAUGUUACUUUAUUAAAAAAUUGUUAUAAUUGAAAAAAAUUAUUAUAAUGAAUUAUUUCAUUUUUUUUUACUAUUUAUCCAAGUAAUGGUUAUUAAAUUUUUUUUCUUAUUAUUAAUUUUAACUAUCCAAAAAAUGGGUACAUGUAUCAUUUUCUUUCCUUUAAAAAAAUUUUUUUUUUUUAUUAAUAUCUAUCCAAACAUAGCAUCAAAGAAGGUGGAUAAUAAGAGCCGAAGGAGGCUUAGCCCUCUAACAUUUUUAAAAACCUUUUACUCCUAUAUAUACUUAUAUUAAAUACAUUUAAAUUAUUUCUUAAAUUAAAAUUAUAAAUUUUUUAAAUAAUUUUAUUACUUAAUCUAUGCAUUACAAUUUAAGAGGUAUUUUAAAUCACAUUGAUAUUUAUAUGUUUAUUGUAUUUAAAUAUCAUUACUUGUAAAUUCUUAAAAUUAAGAGAUUUGCCAUAAAUUUUAAAUCACAACCAUAUAAACUUAAUAUAAGUCAAAUUAAAGUUUUAAUUUUUUCGAUAAGAUUCUAAAUUUUUUAUAAGUAUCAAAUGUGUUUUUCCUUUUCUUUUUAUCUUUUUUUUUGGUGUAAGAAAGACCAAACCUAAGAGAUUUACGGAAAGAGAUAUUGCAAUUUUUAAGAAUUGAUCUCUAACCUUCUUUUAGCUUACUUCAAAUUUUCCUUCAUAUCAUUUUUCACUUUUAUUUUUAUUUUAGAUUUAUAUAUCAAGUUGUUGUAUUUUUUUCAACAAAAAAAUUUUAUAUUGGAACUAUUUUACAAAAGGAUAAAAAAAAUACCACAACUUUUAAUCUCAAAAUUUUAUCAUCAUUUUUUUAAGAGUAUAUAUAAUUUUUUUUUAUUCGAUAAUAUGUUUAAUAAUUGAUUUAUUCAUAUCUCUUUUUUUAUUUCAAUUUUAAAUUGCCAAAAAAUAAAAAAUUCCCAUAAUUCAUUAAUAAAUUGUGUAAUUAGUAAUUCUAUUAUUAAUUGUAAAUCCUAUUAUUAUUAUUAUUAUAAAUAUAAUAUUGUCAUAAUAAUAUUUUUGUUUUAUAAUUUUAUGAACUCAUCAUAUUUUUAUUAAUAUAUUAUUUACAUUAAUAAGUAUGAUAGAAUUUUUCUUUUUGAAAAAACAGUAUAUCAUAUAUUAUUAGUUGGUUCCUCCAAAACUAAACGUUGAGAUGCGUUACUGAAUACUCUUAAUUAAAUGAAAUGGGGGUGAGAAGUGACACAGACAAAAUUUUACUUUUGACAACCAAAAAUUAAGAGUUUUGAUGUCUCACUUAUGCUUUACAAUAUCUAUUUAUUCAUUAAAUAGGUAGAAAACAACUGAUUGCAAUACUCAAGACUUGUCACCUUUUGAGUUUUGACAUAAACUUCAACAUUAUCAUCCAAAAAAGAAACAGACUUAAUUAACAUGUUAAAAAUCAGUAUAAAUUAGCAUUUUGAAUAAUACAAAAAAAAAAAUUACCAACCUAAUAUCAUUACACUUGAACUUGAUUCUUUAUGGGAAAUAAAAACCUUAUGCAUUAUAAAACUCCUUAAGACAAAGUGCAGUGGAAUGCAUGAGAAAAUCCCCUUCACUACCAUUCUAUACCAUUGAGCUUAGAAAGGAAACCAUCAUUCUUAACCUAAAAUUGCCAAAUCCACAACUAAUGCUUGUAAAUUUUAGGGAAAAAACAAAAUCUAUUUCAAUCACUUCUAUCAACUCACUAUCAAUCACGAAAUAAUAUUCCAAAAAGUUUUCGUAGAAAUAUCUUAAAAACUAAAAUUUGCUACAAUCUUAAUUUGAAAAUCAAAUAUUAAUUUCACCAUUCAUCAAGAAAAAAGACUAAAGAAUCAAGAAAAAUCCAUAAUUUUGUUUCCAACAAACCUCAUUUUUUUUUCAUAUGAAUCAUACACAAAAGGCUAAAGAAAUAACAAAAACCCAUAAUUUCAUAUUUUCACAACAACCAAACCAAAAAAGUUUUAGAAAAUUUUCAUACAAACCUUAAACAUUUUCAAAGGAAUUAGCAUAUCAUAAGCCAUUAAAAACUAAAAUGAAGCAAAAUCGAUAAUGUGGCAUUAAGAUAAUUGCACAACAACACAUGUUAACUCGUCACAUGACUUUCAUGCAUGAACAAAUAGCAUUCAAUUGGCAUAUUAAUUGAAUGGAAAAUGAUUCUAUGAUAAAAAAGAACUAUUAAAUUACUAGAAGACUUAAGUUUAAUAGUUAGUAUAUUGAUAUGAAUAUUUACAAUCAAGUUUAAAAGUGAAAUUAAUAUGUUAACGAAAUUGAAAUGGUGUAAUGGAAAGCAACCAAUCAACUCAAAAUAUUUACAAUCAUGCAAACCAAACUAAAAAAUUCCAAUCACAUUUCCUAGAAAAAUCAUGGAUGAUAGCACAUUAAUCCAGUCAAUCCAAAAACCAAGACAUGAUAAAAAUUUUCAAUUUGAACAUUUAAACAUGCAAGAAAGCAAUAUUUCAAAAUUUCCUUCCCUUUCACCUAUUCAUCUCACAAACUCAGACUACCAAUUGUGAUAAAAUCAAUAACAAAAAAAAAUGAAAAACAAAAAACAAAAGUAAACAAUAUAAACAUUCACAUCAACAAGCUUGACAAUGGUAUUCUCCUUAACAAUCUUCAUCCAAGGAAACUAUCCUACUACCACUUCUCGAAAUGCCUUAGUAAUUAGCAAACUUUUGCAUUUGAAUUUCCUGUUGUUCACCAUUUAAUUUCUAAUUUUCCAAACCAAUAAAAAAAUAAUAUAACUAGGGAUGUAAAUGAACCAAAUAUGAAUGAGCGAACGUAUAUGUCAUAAUGUAUAGAUCUAUAGACCUAUAACUAGACUUGUCUUAAGGAGUCACUACCAAUUUUUUUUAUUUAGGUGCGAUUGGUCACUUAACUAAAUCUUUUUCAUUUUAAUGAGAAGUCUCAAGCUUAACUUAGGUAUCUUUAAAAGGUAGAUUCCAGUUUACGAAAUCAAAACUAGUUUCGAAAGUACGAUUAUGUGUAAAAAAUGUUAUAGCACCCUUAUAAUACCCAUGCAAAGAAUGAUAUCAGUUUGAUCUCAUGUUAUCCAAAGCCUUAAAAAUCUUAUCAAAUACUUAGUUAUUAGAAAUUGUCUUAAAAUUACUCCAAUAUGUUAGUAAUAAUUUUAGGACAUUCCCUUACCUCAAAAUUAUUCAAGGAGAUUAUUUGUAACACUUUAAAGAGGCUUUGUCAUCGAAUUUAUUUAAUUUUCAUAAAAAACUUUUAUACGUGAUAAAUGGGAUUUUUAGGAAUCUUGGUAUUGAAAAUCUUUUCUAAAUUCUCCAAUAUGUUGGUAAAAUUUAGAAAGAAUUUCUUAGCUAAGAAUUUACAUAGAAAUUGCUAUUUGUAAUGCUAUUUGUCACUCUAUCAUCAAAGAUUCAAAAUCUAGAAAUACCCUUCAAUAUGUUGGUAAAAUUUUUUGUCAAAAAUUAUCUUCCAAUAUGUUGGUACAAUUUUAUGAAAACUAGUACAUAUGUAUUGAAAAUCUUGGUAUUGCACUUGGAGCAACAUGUGGGUCCUUCCAAAAAUUCAUUCCAAAAUGACACUAUUUGGGGUCGCAUAUAAAAGGCUAAAAUCAAUUCAUUAUUUCAUUUUUCUCUUUUGCUUUCUUUCUUUACCUUUAAUUCUCUCUUUUCUUUCUCUAAGAAGUAGAUGAACACUAAUCGAAAGCUUCAAAAGUUUUUAGAUUUUGAUGAAGUGCCACCAUCUUCGUCAUCAUCGGCCAUCAUGCUUUACAGUUGACCGACCACCAUUGAGGCCUAAAUUUCACUAAGCAACUUGUUUUGAUCUCUUUUUUUACAUGCUUUAGCUAGUCUUCUUUAAAACUUGAUAGAUUUAUGCGGAUCUGGGUGUAAAAGUUAUGGUUUCCAACUUCAAAAUCUUUUUCCCCGUUGUGCUGAUCAUAGUCGCUUCAAGGUAUGUUCCUUUUUUUGUUACUGGUUACCUUUUCACUAGAUUUGGGGACUCAAAAUCCUUUGGAAGAAGGUUGAACCAAAAUCCAAAAACUCUAUUUUUCUUUCUCUUUAUUUUUACCGUUUUUGGCUUUCUCUGGUUCUUGACUUUAAUUCUUUUUUUUAUGAUUUAUUUAUCAAGGAUUUUGGUAAGAAGUUAAUGAUGAUAUCGAAAAGGAUUCAAGUCUUGACAAUGGGAAGUUGGCUAUUGUGCUGGGUGUCAAUUGCUUUGGCUUUCGUUUAGUGAUUGUGGGUGUUUAUUGUUUACAGGUUUAUGACUUCUUGAGAACUAGGUUUGUUUUUUGAGUUUCUGGAUUAUGGCUGGAAUUAUGGUUAUUUCUAAGUUAUGAGACUAUUGUUAUUAGCUUAUGAUUUCCUGGAUGUUCGUUUCAAUUGAAUUUGAGAAUGUGGUUGGGUUUGUCGUGCACUCUGUGUGUGUGUGUAUGGAAGGUUUUGUGAUAGAGGAUAUGGCAAUGGUAGGUUGCUAGUUGUUUGGAAGUUAGGUCUAGGUUUUGGUUGGAAAAUCAAUAUUGGCAAUGUUACAAGUGAUGGUGGUUUUUUAUUGGGAUUUUGCUGAUGGGUGGCUAACUAUGGUUCUUCUGUGUGUUGCCUAUUUUUGUUCAUUAAUUAGUGUUAGAUUCUUUGUUUGUUUUUAUUUAAAUAGGAUUGAAUGAUAGAGUCCCAGAUCAAUUAUGAUCAGAUUUAUUUUAAAUAAAAUCAAGGAUUAUCCCUAAGACUAAUCCUAAAUUAUUUCUAAUGUGUUUUACCAUCCAAAGAUAACCAUAGCCAAUUUUAAAAAUUUAAAAUUUUCAUUUUUUUAAAAUAAUCAAAUGAUUAAGGAUAAAAACAAAAUAAAUCAAGAUACAAUAGGAUAAAAUAAAAUAAAAUAAAAUGAUAAGAUACAAUCCAAAAUAAAAAAUUUGUAAAUUCAAUAAUUGGAUCCGAAAUGGUCUAAGCAUAAAUUGACUUUGGCCCUGGACUAUAUAAGAUGUCUAUAGUUGUCAUUCCUUAUGCAUUUUUUACGAAACAAAAAUAAUGCAAAGAUAUAGGCAUCCAUUACGUCUGGUGUAGCUUAACAACUAUUACAAAGUUUCAAAACUUCAAAGAUUCACAAUUUGAAGUGUUCAAGAACUUCGUAAUCUGACAAUUUGCAAUGUAAGUUGAAACUCAAAGAUCCGCAAGGUUCAAAGAUUCGCAAGGCUUUCAGAUUCAUAAGAAUUUUUAGUUUUGUAAGAAUUUUUAAAUUUGCAAAAAUUUGAUUAUCAAGAAUUUUAGGUUAACAAGAAUUUCAUAUUCAUAAAAUUUUAAUAUUCACAAGAACUCAAAUCGUAAAAUUUUCAAAUUCACAAGAAUUUAAUUCUCAUAGAUUUCAAGUUCGCAAAAAUUUUAGAUUCAUAAGAACUUUUAGGUUCGCAUGAAUUUUCAAAUUCACAAGAAUUUUUAGUUUUGCAAGAGUUUGAUUCAUAUCCAAAUUCAAUUUAGUGAUUCACAUCAAAAUUUUAAGGCUUACAUCCAACAUUUAACGAUUCACAUUCAAAAAUUUUAGAGAUUCUCAUUCAAAGUUUCAAGGUUUACAUACAAAAUUCAAAAAUUCACAUUAAAAAAUUUUAGAGAUUCAUUCAAAAAUUUUGAUUUGAAAAACUUUAGGGAUUCACAUCCAAAAUUUUCAAAAUUGUCAUUUAACACUCAAAGAUUCUCAUUUGAAAAUUUUUAAAGAUUAUGUCUGAAAGUCUUAUAAAUUAUUCUCAAUAUUGAAAAUGCUCCUUUAAAAGGCUCCACAACUUUAAAAUUCUAAAAGUUUUCCAUAUAAAAUAUUUUCUUUAUCUGAUGAUUCACAAUCUUAUCUUAAAAGGCUUUCCUCUAAAAGUUUAAAAUUUUUUCUCAUGAAAAUUCUUGAUUUUUCAUCAAAGUCAAAAUUUUAUUAAUAAUGAUUGCCAUGCAAAUGCUUUCUAAAUUCAAAUUCUGACUAAAUAAUACAAAUGCUUGGUUCAAACAAUGAUGCAAGUGCAACAUUCAAAACAAUGGUCUAUAUACUCAAUAAUGCAAACGAAAUACAUGAAAUGUAGAUGUCACCAAAAUUAAUGCCAUGAAAUUUCAAUUAGUUGUGAUAAUAAGGUUCUCAAGACUUCAUCAUCUCGCAUUUUCUUUUUAACUUCUCAACACUAACAAUCUCAGAACAACUUUCAUCAAUUGAUCCACGUUAUUUAUCAUUUGGUUACAACUCACAGGUUAUAUUGGUUGAUCCAUCGCCAUAUUCACCACUUGGUCACCAUCUUUGCAUUUUUAAAUUAUCUUUUCAGGCUCCUUUCAUCUUUUUCAUUUUCUUUUUGCCCCUAUCAUCUUGGAUUUCUUUUCAAAGGAAUGCAAGAAUCUUUUAUAGAUUAUCAUUCAUUCAUUCAUUAUCAUUUCAAUUCAUGAUAAAUAUAAUGCAAUCAUAUAUUUUCUUGAUUUAUUUCAGGAAUGCAAAAAUGAGAAAGGACAAAGAUGAAUUGAGAGAAAAGGUAAUCAAUACAAGAAUGAGCCUGAUAUAAAAAUAAAUAGGCAAAGGAACAAAUUCAAAGCAUGUCACUAGGAUAAGAAUUUGAAUGGUACAACAAUGUCGAAAAAAUAAAUAUUUAGAUAAUUCUUAACAUUAAUCUAGAAUUAAAAAAAAAAAACUUAUUUCAUUGACUUUUAAAAUCAUUUUGAGCUUAUCAAAUUUUGUCUCAGUCUCAAAUGAUCUUCAGAUGACAUUGAUUUUUCAUAUAUUUAACUAUCCAUGUAAUUUUUAGCUUAGAUAUUUUUUUAUUGAAAUCACCCUUUCGGAUUUUCGAUUUGAGUUUUUCUUUUCUUUUCUUUUCUUUUCACAAUUUUUUUUUCAAUUUUUUCACUUUUCUCAUUUUUUUCAUUUUUUAUUUUUUUUACUUCAUCCAUUAUUGAUAUCUCACACACACCAAUCUCUAAAACACAAGAACAUAUCACAAUUCCAUUGCUUCAUUUGAAGCAUGCCUUAGCUUAAUAUAUGAUCAUUCAAUUCAAGCAUUCACCUUUGAUCAAAAUGAACUUUUAAGGGUUGUUAUAUAAAUUAAAAGAGUCAUGAAAAAAAUGGAUAAGAUAAGCUCAAAGCAUAUGUUUAAAGGAUUCAAACCAAAAAAUCAUUUCUCUAUCAUAUGAUGUAACUUGGCACUUUGCCCCAUUAUUCAUCAUCUCAUUUUUCUUUUUCUUUUUUUCAUUCAUCUUAUUCCUCAAAAAAAUUCUCAUUUUUUUUGCCCUAGGUGAUUUAUGGCAUUGUUUUUCCUGUUUUUUUUUUUAUAAAAGGGGUUUUUCUUCUUUUUUUUUUUACUUUCCAUCUUUGAGAUAUUUUAUGAUCUUUUACUUUUUUUCUUUAUCAAGUAGAUUCUUUUCCAAAAUUUGCCUCCAAUGUGGAGGGUGAUCCUUGAUUAGGGUUCUUUUAGGAAAAAAAUCAUAACAGGUACAAAAAAGGGUAGCAACGGAUGAUAUUAUUUUUAUGAAUAGUAAAAAAAAGAUAGACAUUCUUCACCUUAAAUGUGAAUACUUUCUUUGAAGAUCAUUUAUUGAAUAAAGACAAACUCAUGGAUUAUUAUAAAUGACUGCAUACUUUUUUAACUCUAUUUGGUUCUUUAUAGAUUGAGCUCAUCAAUGUGAAGGAGUUUUGAAAAUUAAAUCCCAGAAUUAUUGUUAUCUUAUCUAAACAUUCAUCAUUUGAAAAUUGAGAAAAGGAAAGAAAAAAAAGGAAAUGACAAGGUAUAGAAUAGUGUAGACACCGAAUUUUAUCUGAGUUCUCCGGACUAGGCCUUGAUUUUUAUUUUUAUUUAAUUUUAUUAAUAAAAGAUAAAAAUAAUUAUAUUAAAAAAAAAAGACAGGGUAGGUAUAGUGCUGUGCACAGCACCAACCUAACCAACCUACCCUAAACCCUAACCUCCCUGACAAUCAACUACCCUUACCCUGCACCAUACCCUAUUUCCCCCACUCCAUUUGCUGCCAUCCCUGGCAGUGUGGAUCAUGCUAGACUGGUGGGAGAAACAACCUGUUGAGCCUUAUAAAUAUCACUCCAAAGAACCAAAACAAAAAAGACCCUUACUUGAAACUCUGCCUAAAAACUUUGCCAAAAACCACUAUUAACUCCCUGGCCAAACUCACCAUUGCACCAAGGUUCAUUCAACCAGCUCUUACAAUCUUUUACCCAUUUUUCAACAAAAACCAAACACCUUAAAAUUUUCCAAAGCCUUCGAACAUAGCCCCAUAAACCAUUCCACUACUAAAAAUCCCAGCCAAAUAAACCCAAUGGCAACUACACUAACCUACCAUCGCAACCCAUGAAACACUUAAGCCCCAUUCAAGCCCUACGCUAGUCCUUGCCAUAUUUGAGACCCAAAACACCAGAAAAACCUAAACAAAAAAAAUCCAAAAAAAAUCAAAGAAACAUAGUCCUUCCCUAAAAGAAGAACUUUAGUGCCAAAGCUAUCCCUUACGAAAAAAAAAUCAUCAGUUUCAGAUUAUAAGAAAAAACAUAUAAAUAAAUGUAUUUUUUUAUUGGAACUUUAAAGUCUGAUCUAGUGAGAUAGGAGUAAUUUUUGGUAAAAAAGAGGUUGGAUCUGAAAAAUGGGUGUUGAGGAGAAUUUUUAGUAAAAUUUUUGGACUUUUCAGCAACUCGCAUGGCAGCCAACAACCACUAGCAAUGACCUUAGAUGGCAGCCGGCACGGUGGCACAAUGCCAAAUUCUAGAAAGGUUGGAGAGGAUUUUUUUUUAGGUUGAAAGGUUUUUUUUUUUAAGGUUUAGAAAUGAAGUAAAAAAAUGGCUUUUAUAUAAAAGGUCAAAUGGCAAAAUGACAUCCUCUUGGGCAAGUAAGAUCCAUGCAUGGACUUGAACCAAAUUCAGGAUCCGCGUAACUUGACCCGACUUUACCCCUUAACCUAGGCCUCGACUGAUCUAGCCAAACUUGAAUUGACCGAUCUGGAUCAAGUAAAAAAAAAUUUUAUGAUUUAUUUAUUUAUAUUUUAAUAUUAGUUUUUAUAAUUAUUAGUUAUGCAUGUUUAAAAUUUAAAAUUUUUUAGAAUAAAUUUCUAUUACAUUUUUAAUAAUAACAAUAAUAAAAGUAAGAAAGAUAAGUAAUAGUAAAUAAUGAAAAAUAAAACUUAAAUUUUUUAUUAUUUUAAAUUUCAUUACAAAAUUAAAAUAAACCUUAAAAAUAAAUUAAAAAAUAAUAAAAUAACUAGAUAAUAAUAAUAAUAACAACAAUAAUAAAAAAAUAAAAAUGAUUUCAAAACUUUUGAUUUUUUUGAAAUUUGAAAAAAAAUAAAGAAUAAUAACAAAAAAAUAUAUAUAAAAGAAUAAAAAUUAUAUAUAUAAAAAAGGAUAAUGGAAAUAAGAUAAUAAAAGAGAUUUUUUUCUCUACCUAGAUGAUGGAGGGAAUAAAAAUUAUUUUUUAAAAAAAUAUUAAUUAUGCCUAGAUGUUGGUGAAUUUUGACCUUUUUUUAUUCAAUUUGUCUCGAUCAAGGAGUUUGUUGCAAAAAAAUGGUAAAGGGAUUGGAUGACAAAGCAUUGGAUGUCAUUUUUUUUUAAUCUCUUGAGUGAGGCCAUAACAUGGGAAGCACCGUGGAUACUUUCUUCUACCAUAUUAUAAAAUUAUGGAGACAAACCUUAGGUUCCAUUACUAGGACUAUGGGUAGUAGCUAGCUAUGCAUCUCUUAUGGUCUAGAGACAAUACAAUUCUCGAUAGUUUAUUCCCAUAACUCAUGGAUUCAAUCUACUCAUAUUUGAUUAUGGUGCACCUAAUUAUAAAAAAAAAGUUUAAAAAGUCAUCAAAGCUGGGAAACAGAUCAAUCGAAUGAAUUCAACUAGGUAUACAGACAAUGUGGCGGAAAGAUAUCUUUCAUGGAAAGCGAAAAGAAUCAUUAAAGUUAGGUCAUUACUAAAAGAUGUUUUAAAACAGCUACUCACCCAUUGCUUAGCAAGAAUUUGAGGUAAAAAGGAAAAAAAUAGAGAAAGAAAAGAUGGUGAUGGUAGAACAGGUUAAUCAAUUGAGAUAUGAUUUGAUGAUGAAAGACGAUACAUUGUAAAAGCUUGGCAAGGAAUAAAAAGUGUUGAAAGAAGAUUUGAAAGAUCACCAUCAAGAAAACAAAAAACUAGGAAUGGAUGUUGGGUUUUCAAGAGAAUCCAAAAAAAAAAUCAAGAAUUGAAAGAAAAUGAUGGAGUACUAGAAAAGUAAAGCCAAAAAGAAUAAAGAAGCUAUUGUCACUCUUACUCAAGACCAACAAACAUGAAAGGAUAAGAUUUUCGAAGUUGUCGAAGAAAACAAGCAAUUAAAGGUCAUAUUAAGGCAAGAAAAAAGUAAGAAUUCUACUAUACAAAAGACAUUGGAACAAAAGUUGACAAGGUUGGAACACUAAUUGGUUGAGAACCAAAACCUCAUGGAUAAGAUUCUGAUGAAGUGGCAAGAAAAGGAGGAUGAAUGGGCUUGUAUCUGCAACAUGAAAGUAGAAGCCUAAGAGAUGUAGAAAGCAAAAAUCUUAGGAAGGUAGCAAUACAUAAAACACUUGACUUCUAAAAUUUACAAAGCUGUCCAAAAGGUGACAAAAUGGUCGAAAAAAUAAAAAGUACUUGAACAAGAUAUUAUACCAACCCAAGGCUAUAGUCAAUGAUUGUUAGACUUUUUAUGUGAGGUUGGAGAGCAAUAUGCUCAAGUUAAAUGUUGUUAUGAUUUUAAUAUAAGGAUAUUGUAUCAUGUGAUCUAAUUCAUGGUUAAUAAACUAAAGUUCAAGGAUAGUGAAGCCAAAGAGCUUAAGUCAACCAAUCCCGCAUUGUUAUAACACUAAUUCUCAAGCUUGAGUCAUGGAAGGAAAGAAAGUAAUUAGGUUUGAGAAGGUAAAAAAAGCAAAGAAAAAAAUAAAAAAAAGAGUAAUGGAAAUUCAACAAAGUAUUGAGGCAUAAAUGGUUGAACUAAGGUAGUUCUUAUCCAGUUCAUUAAAGGGUAAAUAAGUUAUUGGUACAUCAAUACCGGGGAAAGAGAUUAAUAUGGAAGAAUCAUUGUACCCUCUAAGGUUCACCCCACUUUAAACUUAAGCUCCUCAUGGUAUAUAUGUGUAGGCGCCAAAUGUAAAACCUUACCCUUAUAUCAAUCAUUCUGCUAGUCAACCACAGAUUCACUUGAAUGUUAACCUAAGAUCUAUCCAUGUUGACCCCAUCUCGAUACCGAAUCUAGAUGACCCGAUCGAAUAAGAGAAGUCACUGGAAAAGUUUAAGUUGAUUGUGAACUCAAAAAUAUGAAACAAGUAUAAUCAGCUUAAAAAAAGGCUCAAAGUAGUAGAAGGUAACAAUAUCUAUGGGAUUAUUGAUGCUAAUAAGCUCAAUUUGGUGCUUGACUUAGUUAUCUCAACAAAAUUUAAAACCUUAAAUUUUUUUUAGAAAUACUUCAAAACAAAAUGUCAUUUUGCUUACAUUAACAUGUUCUGUCAGAAGAGGGUGGGUCAUACCCAAAAUGACAAGUUCUUGAUACACUAUUUUUAAGAUAGUUUAACUAGAUCAGUAGUUAGAUGGCAUGUACAGCUAGAUCAAAGCCAAAUUCAUUCGUAGAAAGACUUGGCCAAAACUUUCACACCCAAUAUAAACAUGUUCUUGAUAUAGCCCUUGAUAGGUUGUCAUUACAAAAUAUUAGAAAAAAGUCAUUGGAAACCAUUAAGGAAUAUGUGCAUUAUUGAAAAGAUGUGGCAGUCCAGGUCCAACCACCACUAACUGAAAAGAGAACAUUAUGGUAUUUGUCAACACAUUAAAAGCCCUAUACUAUGUCAAGUUGGUUGAAAAUGCAACAAAAAAUUUCUUUGAUAUGGUGAUUUUAAGAAAAAUGGUAGAGAACGCCAUCAAGAGUGGCAAAAUUAAAGAGCCCAAAAAAAAGAUAGCAAAUCCAAAAAAGAAAGAACAUGAGACACACAUAGUUAUUUAUGAAAAUUUUUCAUGUUGGUCCCUUGUUCCAUAUAAUCCAAACCCAUUAUACCCUCUAUAUUACCCUACACCAACCAAAUCUUUCAACAACUAUAUCAUUAAUGAGCACCCCAACAACCAUCACAGAGGCUGAGCUUUAGUCCUCAACUACCCAAUUAUACCCCUAUACCUCAAAUUCAAUCAUUUGCCUAACCAAUCCAUUGAACUAAUAGUAAAAAAAACCCACAAAACAAUAACAAUUAAGAAAAGCCUCAAUUUGACCCAAUUUUCAUGUUGUACACUAAUUUGUACCCCCAGCUAAUGAAAGGCACCUUAUUGCCUUUACCUAUGUGGCACCAUUAAAGGCACCUUAUCAGAGUUGGUAUACCCCAAUGUCAAGUACGAUUGCCAUUAUGGUGGCAAGACAUUCCACUAAAAAAUGCACAACACUUAAAUAUAAGGUAUAAGGCCUAAUAAAUAAGAGGCCCUUAACUUUUUAUACUAAAUUCAAGCCAAGUAUCAGUGGAAAGCCUUUGCCAAACCACUUCGAAGAAAAGAUUAAUAUUAUGGAAAAUGAAAGAGAUGUGAAGAUCAAAAGAUACAUGAACGAAGUAAAACCCCUUUUAAACGGGUGUAUGAUUGUUUGAUUGAAGUAAGCAUGAUUUAGUUAAUAUCUUUGGAUAUUAAUGGAAACCAUGAAGACCACAAUUAGGUUUGCAAGUAUCAUUGAAGGAUGGUUAAACAUUCAAUCCAUAUAUGUGAAAUCUUUCAACAAAUAUUACAAAGUCUGAUGGAUGCGAUUGUAAUAAAGUUUUAUGAUAAGUAUGAUGAAGUAAUGUGAAUAUGAUGGAUGAUGAGCCCUCCUACAAGUCCUUUAUCCCUAAGCCUCUAAUAAUAUUCUAUGAUGUGAAAUUGGAAGCUAUAAUUGAAAAAACUAUCUUUUUUCUUAGGAUGGCAAUGACCAUUAUGUUUCUAGUCCAUUCCUUUACCAAACUGAUAAAAUAGUUCCAUGAAAAUACGACUAUGAUGUCAUGGUUCAAGGACCUGAUACAACCUCGAACAACCAAGUAUGGAGAAUAUUACAAACAUAACAAGCAUAAGAGAAAUAAUCGAGAAUGGUCAAUGUUACACUCUCGAGGCAUCAAAAAGGGCUAGAAAAAGGAAAGGUAAGAUGGAAGAAGAGGAUAUAAUGGAAAGUCAAAGUACUCAGUCGAUAAUAAGCCUAGAAGUGUAGAUUAAAGAGUCGAUAUCAGAAAAAAAAGCCUGUGAAUUCCUAAAGAUCAUCAAGCACAGUAAAUAUAUGUGGUUGACUAGUUAAACAAACUAUCAGUUCAUAUUUUUUAUUGUCACUACUGUUGAGUUCAGAGCCACAUAAGAAUGCUUUGCUGAAAGUACUUAAUCAAGCUUAUGUCAAAAAUAAUAUUUCUAUUUAGAAAGUAAAUCACAUGGUUGGAAAUAUUGUAGCUCCCAACUUCAUUACUUUUAAUGAUAAUGAAAUACCUCCGGAAGGACAAGGUAGUGUUAAAGCCUUACAUAUCAUUGUUAAAUGCAAAACCCAUACCAUGGCCAAAGUAUUGAUUAAUAAUGGGUCAUCUAUUAAUGUCAUACUUAUGACUACAUUAUCAAAGCUUCCACUAGAUCCCUCAUAUAUGAGAAACAGCCAUAUGAUAGUAAGGGCUUUUGAUAGAGUAUGAAGAGAUGUGAUCUGUGAUAUAAAGAUUCCAUUAUAGAUUGGCCCAUGUACCUUUAAUGCCUCAUUUAAGGUGAUGGAUAUAACACCUACAUAUAGCUGUUUAUCUUGAAAACCUUGGAUUCAUACAUUUAGAGCUAUACCUUUAUCUUUACACCAGAAGGUAAAGUUUGUUAUUGAAGGGAAGCAAGUUUGUCUAGAUGGUGAAAAAGAUUUAUUAGUAACGAAAAUCUUGACUACUCCUAAUGUUGAAGCUACUAAAGAGGCGAUCGAAUGCUCAUUUAGAGCUUUUGAAGUAGCAAAUACUACUCAUGUCAAAGAAUGAUCAAAGAUACCAAUCCCCUAACUAUCAAAGACUAUGGGUGUAGACAUAGAAUAUUGUCCGAAACUUUUUUCUAAUAUGAUUGAUCUGGGCCCAUUUACAAAAAUGGGCCAGAACCAUUAAUUAGGACCAUUACAUAAACCAUAUAAAGACCUAAUUACAAGUGUAAACAAAGCCCAUUUGAAGCCAAUAAGAAAGCCCACUUUAAAAGCCUAUAAAAUGCAUCGAUAUUAAAGUCUAUAAUAAAUAAAGAAAAAAAAAACCUAUAGGGUUGCUGUCAAACUCUUUUGCAUGGGAUUUAUAUGGAGACUACCUUUUCACAUGGAUGUAUAAGAAAAAAAGAAUAAAUGAAGCAAGUAAGCCUCAAAGUUAACUCGAGUCAAAUUCGGUCAAACUUGAUUAAUGAAAUUAAAAUUAGUCUAACAAAGUUAAAAUUGCAUAAAACUUGGUUAAAAUGGAUAGAACCUGGGUCAAUUCUCGCAAUUCAUAACCUAAUUGGAAUCAAUGUGGUUUAAAGUUAAAAUUGAUGAUUUUUAAAACACUAAAAAUUUUUAUUGCACUUGGGGAAGUACAAAAUGACUAAAAUGCCUUUUAGGGGGAUUUUUGUAAUUUGACUUUCUCAAGAUUAUUUUUUUUUCAUGAAAACUUUCAAAUCUUAAUUUCAUAAUAUUUCAUGAUUUUUGGUACAUUUGAAAUCAUAGCAGUAUCCUGGGAGGUGUGAAAUUACUAAAAUAUCCCUUAGAGGUAUUUUCAUAAUUUGGCUUCCCAAGUCGGAUUUGCACAAAACUUUUUCAAUCUCAAUUUUAUAAUAUUUCAUGAUUUUUGGUGCUUUAAAAUCUCAAAAAUAAGCAUGGAAACAUUGAUUUCUAAGAAAAUAACUUAAAUACCAAAAACUUUAUACUAUGAGUAAAAUGGUUUUUUCAUUUGGUUUAAUGGUUACAAAAAUCCAACCUUUGUAGUGAAUAAUGUGGAUCAGUAUAUCUCAUAUUGAAUCUUGAUCCAAUGGCUAAAUAUUGUUCUUUAAAAAAAAAGAACUUUGGUCUUUAGAUGAGAUUUGAUUCCAAGGCUUAUAUUUAAUCAUUCAAAGAUAUUUUAGUGGCUUCUUCUUUAUAAGAAAAAAUGGGGCUCUUGAAAAAAAAAAAAAGGAAGGUUUUUUAAAGGAAAAAACAAACAUAAAAAAAAAAAAAGGAAAAAGCUUUUUAGUAGCAAUCUGGGAUUUUUAAGGAAGUCAAUAGGAAAAGAUAAAAGAAUAGGAAAGGAGAUUGGAAGUGAAAAAGGGGAAGCAAAAAUUUGGGAAAUGGUAUUAUUUUUUAUUUUUCUUCUCAUUGAAAGUUUUUACGUGCUAAUAAAGUUUAAAGCUCAAAGCUUUCUUUUUUUUCAUGGGUUUUUUUUUUUUUAUUUGUACACAAGAGUUUAAAACUCUAUUUUCCUGGUCUGUUAUUCUUUUUUUUUUUGUAUGAUAGCUAUUGGUUUAUAAAAAGGAUAAAUAGGAAGACAACCUUUAUAACUUAAAAACUAGUUUUAAAUAUGCAACAAGAAACAAAAGCAUUAAUUUUUGUGCCUACACCUACUAGGGUUGUUAGGAUAGGGAAGUUUCAUGCUUUUGGUUUGCCAAAUUUUUAUCUUAACAAAUGAAAGUUUCAUGUAGACUUGGAAAGUUCAAUAGCUUUCCAAGGUGUGACAAAAAAUUAAAAAAAAAUGAAAUGGAAAAAAAGAGUAUAUGAAACAAGCUUCUAUCCCUUUGUUGUUCAUGUUUUGGUUUGCCAAAUUCUUGUUUUGAUAAAUGAAAGUUUCAUGAAGGCAUGGAGAAUUCAAUAGUUUUCCAAGGUGUGGCAAAAAAAAAAUGAAAAGAAAAUUUUGAAACCAACUACCAUCAACAGCUUUCCAAGAUGCGACAAAAACAAAAAAAAAAUUAUAUAAAAAAGGUUUCCAAGCCCAGCUUGUGUACUUUUCUAGUUAUGUGAGUUCAUCUUUUAGUCUAUUCCCCUCUUGGAUUUAAGUUGGAAAAAAGGAGUCUUUUUUAACAAACCAAACUGUAGGCGCAAAGAUGAUGGAAUUUUGCAAAUUAAUAAUAAAGGACAGGCUUAAAAUAGGCUGUGCAUUGUUAGUUUUUUUUUUUUUUUCUUUUCUUCCUUAUUCCUUGUAUUGUCUAAUCCAUAGAAUAAUGUAAAAUAACAUGGGUAGGGUAAAGUUCUAGAAAAGAUUAUUUUUAUAUGUGAAAAUUUUAAAGCAUGAAGUAGAAAAUGUGUUUCUUCUUGAUAAGUUUUAUGCAUAUUUCAUAUAAUACAUGUUCAUGUUUAUUUAUAUAUUUUUUUCUUAAUUAAAGUUGGAAUUUUAUACAUUAUAAUUUGUUUAAUGUUUAAAUUACGCUUAAAUUAAUUUCAUGCAAUUUAAUUUUUUUGUCAUAAAAUAGUAUUAUUAUUAUUAUUGUUAAUGCAAUUCAUUUUAUUUACACUAUUGUUUCAUGUACAAAUUAAAACAAAAAAAAAAAAUGGAAGUAGUCCCUAGACAUGCCUAAACUUUGGCUUUGUUCCCUAUUUGGUUGUGAAUUUAGACUUUCCUUAUUGCCUUUCAUGUAAGUAUCAAUAGUCAUGGUGUGGGGCCAUUAUUGUAAGGUUGUAGCAUAACAUCAUGUAAGUGUCCAACGUCAUGGCAUGGGAGCUAUUAUUUGCAUUGAAUAUUUUUUUUCUUGGCUUAUUUCUGUUUAGUUUAAAAUGGAAUUAGUUCAGAAAGUUCAUUCUAGUUAGAAUUUUAUAAUAAGUAAAAAUUUUAAAAUAUAAGGCCUAAAGUUUGUUCCUAAUAAAGUUUAUUUCCAUGUGUUUAAUUUUAAUUAUACCUAUACAAAUUUUUUUAUGUUGUUUAAAUUUAAUUGCAAGUUUAAUUUUAUGUAUUGUUAAUUUUCUUAUUGUUUGGAUUCCCAUGCUCAUUUUAAUUUAAUCUUUCAUACUUUAAUUUAUGUUAGGUAUAUUUUAUUUUUCUUACACUUUAAAUUUAUGCAAAAUAAUAAUAAUAGCAAUAACAAUAAUAAUAAUGAUUUUAAAGAAAGAAGAAAUAUAUAUAAAAUAUGUAAGAAUAUAAAAAUUUAUUUUUUAGUAGAAUUAUAAAAAUGAACUUGUUUCGAAAGUUUACUUAUAUGUUGGAGAAUUUUAGAGAGGCAUAAAUUCUUAAAAUUUAAACCAAACCUACCAAAAACCCUAAGCUCAUUUUAAAUUUCUAAGGAUUUGUAUGAAAACAUUUUAUGAAGUAAUAUAUUUCUGAAUGCUAUCUAGAUGUCGAGGUAUUUAGGAAAUUUUAUUUCAUUAAGAAUUUUCAUUCAUUUUCACAAUUCAAAAUAAAUUUUUUUUUAUUAAAACACAAAAUAUAAAAAAAUAAUAAAAAUAAUAGAACAAAACUUUAAAUAUAAAAAGUAGCACCCAAACUUUGCGUGGAUAUUAAAAAGUUUAUGUGGUCUCUUUAUAUUUGAAAACUCGAUUCUUAAAUUUGUAUUUUAUCAUCAUCUGCAUAUAACUCAUUUUUUAGAAUAAUGUGUACAUUCAUAAUUCAUAUAUAUGUUUGUUGAUGUUUAAUAUUCAUUAUAUUAUUCGUUUUUUUUACUACAUAAAAAGUUUUCUUAAAAAUUUUUAGUUUUGAACAAAUAAAAUUAAAAUAAAAUUCUGUGAAAUAUAAUUAUUAGUACUCUAACUAGAUGUUAGAGAGUUAUUAAUAAUUAUCAUUUACAAANNNNNNNNNNNNNNNNNNNNNNNNNNNNNNNNNNNNNNNNNNNNNNNNNNNNNNNNNNNNNNNNNNNNNNNNNNNNNNNNNNNNNNNNNNNNNNNNNNNNNNNNNNNNNNNNNNNNNNNNNNNNNNNNNNNNNNNNNNNNNNNNNNNNNNNNNNNNNNNNNNNNNNNNNNNNNNNNNNNNNNNNNNNNNNNNNNNNNNNNNNNNNNNNNNNNNNNNNNNNNNNNNNNNNNNNNNNNNNNNNNNNNNNNNNNNNNNNNNNNNNNNNNNNNNNNNNNNNNNNNNNNNNNNNNNNNNNNNNNNNNNNNNNNNNNNNNNNNNNNNNNNNNNNNNNNNNNNNNNNNNNNNNNNNNNNNNNNNNNNNNNNNNNNNNNNNNNNNNNNNNNNNNNNNNNNNNNNNNNNNNNNNNNNNNNNNNNNNNNNNNNNNNNNNNNNNNNNNNNNNNNNNNNNNNNNNNNNNNNNNNNNNNNNNNNNNNNNNNNNNNNNNNNNNNNNNNNNNNNNNNNNNNNNNNNNNNNNNNNNNNNNNNNNNNNNNNNNNNNNNNNNNNNNNNNNNNNNNNNNNNNNNNNNNNNNNNNNNNNNNNNNNNNNNNNNNNNNNNNNNNNNNNNNNNNNNNNNNNNNNNNNNNNNNNNNNNNNNNNNNNNNNNNNNNNNNNNNNNNNNNNNNNNNNNNNNNNNNNNNNNNNNNNNNNNNNNNNNNNNNNNNNNNNNNNNNNNNNNNNNNNNNNNNNNNNNNNNNNNNNNNNNNNNNNNNNNNNNNNNNNNNNNNNNNNNNNNNNNNNNNNNNNNNNNNNNNNNNNNNNNNNNNNNNNNNNNNNNNNNNNNNNNNNNNNNNNNNNNNNNNNNNNNNNNNNNNNNNNNNNNNNNNNNNNNNNNNNNNNNNNNNNNNNNNNNNNNNNNNNNNNNNNNNNNNNNNNNNNNNNNNNNNNNNNNNNNNNNNNNNNNNNNNNNNNNNNNNNNNNNNNNNNNNNNNNNNNNNNNNNNNNNNNNNNNNNNNNNNNNUGAGUCAAUAAUUUCUUCAUAAGCAAUCGUUCAUUAACGGAGCCGAACGAAAAUCUAAACAUAUAGUUUGGGCCAUGGAUGCUCAGAAUAUUUACCCAAAACAUUGACUCUUAAAAAUAAGCCCAGCUCACUAUAUGCUAGGAGUUUUAGAUCAUAAACAUUGGCCCAUCCCAUUUUAAGCCUGGGAGAAUCCUUGAAGGGCUGGACACACCGCAAACGUUGUUCCCAACUGUUCAAGGAGGAGCACACUUUAUUGUUAUUAUUUUUUCUUUUUCUGGAGAAGAUAAAAAGUUCAAAAUCUUCACUUACCUGAAACAGGUCAAAAAGUGGAAAAAUAUUAUGUUAUGGGACUUGAAUUUCAAGCUUCCGCACAUCACGCCGACAAAUUGAACAGCUAAAGUUCUUCCUUUAACAUUACUUAAAGAAAUUAUUUAAUCACUGGAGUGUACCAAACCAAACAUGUCUUUUCCAACUAAUCAUCUCAUUUUAUAAACCUUUGCCAGAGACUAAAAAUGAGAUUGAUGAUCAUGAAGCUAAAUAUUGGUUUUCAGCGGUUCAUAAUUGGAUGCACUCUCAAAAAUAUGUGAAUGAUGAUUUAAAGCCAUAAAUGCAAACGACAUUUCGUUUCAUGUGUCUACAUUGCUCUUUAAGUGUUUGCAAAUAGAAGAAAGGCUCAAGUCUGGAAAAUUAUUUAAAAUCAAAGGAAUAUUGUUAAUUCCCAUCUUCGGAGAACAUUUGAACUCAUCAAACAUAAUAAUUUUCAUUCAUCAAUUAUAAUACCAAAUCAUUCUAUAUGCAUUUCUCAGUACUUCAAAAGAGAAAAAAAAAAAAAACAAAAACAAAAAAAAAGAAGGAUGUAGCAUGUUACAUAAUUCCUUGUUCCUUGAAUUAUUAUAGGGUAAGCUAAAGAUAGCAUGCCGAUGUCAAAGCAAUAAUAAUAUUACUUUUUCUUUUUUAUGCUAAGAAAUGAUUAAAAACGCUUACAUGUAUACGCCCUUGACCUAGUUAUAUCUAAAAAAAUCUUCUUGAAUCAAUCUGAACAAAUCAGAAGAAAGAACUACAAGAAUAUUGUUUCAAGGCCUGCCUUCAAGUGCCACACCCACUAAUGCCCUAUUUGGAUUACAUUGCAUCUCCAAUGUAAUACAAUUCAAAUGCAUGGCAUUUGGAUUGUAUUUCAUUGCUCUCAAACGCACUGCCCCCUUUAAUUGGAAACAGGAAGGUAAAGGGUUCAGUUGAGUGGGUCGAAUGUUUAGUAUAAAAAUUAAAAAUGAAGAGGACUUUUAAUUAUGACAACUGAUUAUUUUUAGUGACAUUGUUGAUUGUUUUACCAAAUUUCAUCAUCACCGUUGCAUUUACUUUUAAAUACAUGUUAAUUAAUCAACCUAGAAAUUAACUAUCCUCUACCUCUAUAUAAGAUAAUCUUAAAAAAAAAAAAAAAAAAGAAGAGGGGAGAUUUUCAGUUUCGACUUUUUGUCUUGUAGAUACCUAACUUAACUGACAGGACCCCAUUUUUCAUUUCCCCACCACCCUUUGAUGAAAAGCAAAGAGAGAGGAGCCUGAUUCAACAAAAUCAAAGAAAUUAAAAUAAGCAUGUACCUUUUUGACGGAUGAGAUCAAAACAAAGAUUUUAGGUGCCGACACUCUCAUGGAAUGCACAUGCUGUAUGCGCUAUUUGUUAUCAUUAUUUUCUUCCCCGCAUCUUUCGCUUUCCUUAAUCCGCGCAUAAGUGCCCGGUCAUCAGCAGAGCAACUAAGUCUAUAAAAGAACUUAAUAAAUAUUGGAGCUUUCCAUCAACUUAGAGUACUAUACUAUUACUAUUUCCCCUUGCUCUAUUUUCCUGAUCAUGGCUUCCCUUGCAAAGCACAUUACUUUUUUCUUCCUUCUAGUGCUAUCCUCCUCUGUCCAGAUUCGAGCUAGGGAAAGCAUGUUCUUUAGCAAGAUCUUCCACCUUGGGGGCAAAAUUUCUCCUCAAGAGGUACCUACACCAUCUCCAGCACCAGCGCCGGCUAACUCUGAGGGCCAAUUAGAUCCUUAUCAUGGCCUUUAUGGUCAGGGCUCUGGCAUGUUCCCUCCUGUAAAGAAGACUGUCAGCACUAGCAACACUCCUACCACUUUCGAAAAUGAUCUUUUGGCUGAAGAACUUGCUGAUGAAAAAUAUGAGACGGGCUAUGAGAACAACAAAUACAACAAUAAUGGCUACACCCUCAGCAACUACAACAGCAAUGGCGACACAAGCAGCAACUACAACAACAAUGGCUACACCCUCAGCAACUACAACAACAAUGGUUAUGAGACAGAGAGACAAGGAAUGAGUGAUACCAGAUUUGUGGAGGGUGGUAAGUACUAUUAUGAUGUGAAGAAUGGGAACUAUUAUCCUAAUGGAUACGAGUCGUCAGGUAAGGAAACUACUAAAAAUGAAGGUUACUACGGAAAUACAGAGAACUCCAAUGAGGUCAACCCCAUGGAAGAGUACCAGGAGAGCCAAGAAGAGUAUGUGCCAUAGAUAUUGGCCAUGACUCAUGAAUGAAAAAAGGGAAAAGAGUUUUGGAUAGUGGAUGUAUGUUUAAGAUCUGGAAGACUAAGUUAUGGAGUCUUUUAUUCAUGUUUUUAUUUUCUAUUCUCACUUGUGUUUGCACAAUUUUUAUGCUUUGCAAAUCAGAAAGGAUUGAAAACAAUACAGUUUUAACACAUUGGACUUGAUUGUUGAUUAUCUUCCUCUAAGGGCUAAGUGUUAUGUUGUCCUGAUUCAAAUCAACAGAAUCAAUUGGGUUUGCCAAAAUAGCCGAAUCCAAUAAACCCGAAUUCAUCAUGUGGUAAAUUUAAUAUUCUAAAAAAUUCAUUAUUAUACAAUUGAUCAAAAGUUAAGCAAAAAAGGACUGAAAAUAAUAAGAAAAAGAGGCACAUAUAUGACUGCUAUUAAAGCAACACCUCAUUUUAAUGAUUUAUAAAGGCCAAGAUCCAUUCAAUUCCCCAUUGAAAUUCACAACUUUGUGCAGGAUGUUAAAGCAUGCUUGAUUUCAAGGGUAGGAUUAACGGCUCGAGGGGUUAAUCGUGCUCACAAACUGAAUUAAAUUAGUCAGGACUUCUUAUUCUAACAAAAAAACCCACACUUUCCAUGUGCCAUCCAUCUCAUCAUCAAUGAUUUACCUUUUGUUAAUAAAUUACAUUAGCAAAAUGUGAGCUACCAUGCAAAUCCCAUUACAUUACGUGCAAUCUUUUUUCUUCAUUCUCAAGCUACAGUUUUUUUAUAUAAAAAAAAUUAUAUUCCUUUUAUUUUCAGCUUGUAUUAAAAUUUUGGUGAUUAUUUGUAGAUUUAUUAAUUUUAAACAUGAUAUGAUAAUAUGAUAAUAACAAAAAAAUAUAAAAGUGAUACGAUAUAAAAAUUUUAACAAAAAUAAUAUAUGAAUUUGAUAAAAACUAAAAAAUAUAUUUUGUAUUUAAUAUGUUAAUAUAAAUUAUAAUAUAAUAAUUUUUAUAUCUUACAUGUUUAACAUAAAAUACAUACUGUGCCAAUACACCAAUUAAUAUAUUUAAUUAGGCGAGUAAGCGAUUUUGUGACUAAGAAACAAAAGACCACCAAAUUAGACCUGAGGCGAUCAUGGGCCAGGAAGGGCCGAAUUUAGACCAGAUUAUAUACUUCAUGUUGUGAAGAGAAACCCCUCCCCCAAAGCCUGGCAUGGUUUGAAGAGAAAUAGUUAACUUGGGCCAAGAGAGGCUCCCUCUCAUCAUUUUAAAAGUUCAAAUAUAUGAAGAAUAAGUAAAAAACUCUAAAUUAGCAACAAAAAAAAAAAAAAACAGUUCCGAAGUAAAAUCUAUAUAAAGGGAAAAAUAAAUGCUCCGUUUUUUUGCAUUUAUGUAAUAAAAUAAAUUAUUAAAAUAUUUUACUGAUUUAGAUCAAUUAAUAUAUUAUUAGAGUUGCGUUUAAAAAUUGAGAGUUCAAAAAAAUUUAAGCAUAUAAUAUUUUUUUCAUAAAAAAUAUAAUAGGACAAGAGGUUUUUUUUUUUUUGGAACAAAUUAAAUUUUCAAAAAAAUAUUAAAGUGUUUUAAAAAUAAUAAUUGGGACCUUGUAAAAAAAGGGCCCAGGUGAGAGCGGUCCCAGGAUGUUGCCCACGUUGAUCCUAUGUAGUAUUAAAAGAUCCAUGCAAAUACCUGGUGAGCGUCUGGAAUAAAAAAUGGCGUGUGGGCCUACGGAAUUUUACGACAGAAUAGUAUAGUCCGGUUCGGCCCAGUUUGCUGUUUUCAGUUAGGAGAGGACCAGUUUAAAAGGGAGACCCAUGAUGGAUUGCUUGGGGAGAAAUUCAAUUAGUAUAAUAACAUUCCUUUUUCUUUUCUUCUUCAAACGCUUACGACUCCGAAGAGAUUUCCCAAGUAAAGCCAGAUAACCCAUUGCCCUAAGCGCGAUGUCGGAUCCCAAAAGAGGCGCCGGAACUUCCCAGACGAAGCCUCCGCCCAAGGACCCCAAGAAGAGAGAUGAGAAAAAAGAGGAGGAUCUGGUGAGUCGCAGUUCGGAGAUUAGGGUUUAGUUAACUGUAUCGAUAUUUUUUAUAACUUAAGUAGUUCUUUGUUUUUUGGCAUACGCAGUCGGAAGAGGAUUUGGCUUUGAAGCAACAGCUGGAGUUAUAUGUUGAAAGAGUUCAGGAUCCUGAUCCUGGACUCCAGAAAGUAGUUCUUGAGAGCAUGAGGUAAUCAAAUUAUUUGCGAAUUUGAGUUAAGAAUAGAGAAAAAGGAAGCUUAUUUUAUAGUUCGAAAGAGUGUUUAUUUUAUGUUUGUAUGUUUUAUUAACAUCUUAUCAAGUUGAUGGGUCAGGUCGAAUGUGAAAUUGCCGCUGUCAAUUUAUCAAAUUAUGUUAUUUUUGUCGAUUUUACUGUUAGCUGGAACGUCCAUGGGUGGGUUUAGUUGCAAUGCCUGAAUAAAGCAUCAUUUUUUUACAGUGUAAUUUUAUAUCCUUUUUAGGCAAGAAAUCCGCACUUCAACAAGCUCCAUGACUUCUGUUCCAAAGCCAUUGAAGUUUCUCCGUCCUCAUUAUGGAACCCUAAAGGCUUUUUAUGAGACAAUGCUGGAAUCAGAUUUGAAGGUAUUACUUGUUUUGCGUUAAUUAUCUCCCGUUACAUCUUUUAUAAGGGUGAUCUAUUUGAGCUAAGCAAUGUAGUGAAGGAUGAUUUAGAUGGAAGCAUAAUUUUUAAUUGGGACUUUGUUCUUAAUUAAUAUGUCAUGGGCAGAAUUAUUAUUUAUAAUAAAUUUUUAGGGUAUUUAGGUUAUUUGUUUUGAGUAGGUUUUUUUUUUAUUAACUAAGUGUAGGAAGUAGCCUAUAAAUGCCUAUAUUCUUUCAGGUUAAUUAGCCAUAUUCUCAUAAAUCCAGAAUUUCCCUUGGUUUUAAGAAUUUUCUUGAUGUCUUUUCUUUCCUAUAUGUUCUGCAUCACUAAAUUACUUUCACUUGUUUGCAGAAAUACCUAGCUGAUAUCCUGUCUGUGUUGGCACUGACCAUGUCUGAAGAGGGCGAGCGGGUAGCUCUCCAUUUUUUUCCCAAAUAUUAUACUUGGAGAAUUGCACAAGUUUUGCUUUAUCUUUCUCAUUCCUCACUUGUAUGGCACUCUAAUUUUGAUAUUCAAUCAUUCUUUCAAUUUGACAAUCCUACAGGAGAGUUUAAAGUAUAGAUUGUUGGGUUCAGAAGGCGACAUUGGUUCGUGGGGCCAUGAGUAUGUGAGGUGAGCAUUGUCUGACUUGAUAACAUACUGUUUUAUUUUUUUUCCUGGAAAUUUUGUAUUACCAGUGCUAGCUGAACUUGUUUUCAGAUUGUGAUCAUGAUUUAAGUUUUAUCUGUUGGUAUAUUGGUUGCUACUGCUGUCUUGGUGCUCCAACUUUCUUUUCUUAGAAUUUUUAACCUAAGGAUAACCUAUGUGAAUUUUUUUCUUCUCAUGUUGGUAAUGAAAUCUAAAAGAAAUUUGUGUUCUGACUUGUUAAUUUAUUGUCAGGAACUUGGCGGGAGAAGUUGCACAAGAGUAUAUGAAGCGGCAGGUUAGAAAUCUAAGGAAUCUUUAGAUAUCUAGAAGUUUUAAUGAGUUAUGCACUUUAAAACAAUUCUCUCUUUAUGGUUUUCCUGAAUAGUGAGACAUGAAUCUGGAUUUCAAUUGUAUUUACUUUCUUUGCCGCCAAUACAGAGUGAAGAGGCCCCAAUUGAAGAUCUAAUGGAGCUUGUGCAACAAAUUGUUGCUUUUCACAUGAAGGUUUAUAUCUUGUUAUAUAUAACAAGCAAUUGAUUUAUUGCAGAAGAAAAUUCUGUUCAGAAUAUGCCACGUUUUCCUGCUUCUUAUGUAUUUGUGCUUUUAUGUGCAGCACAAUGCUGAACCUGAAGCUGUUGAUCUCUUGAUGGAGGUGCCACACAACAUAAUUUCUUUUUUCAGGUUUCCUAUUUGAGUUGCCUUCUGUUUUUAUUGAGCUUGAAACAUAUGAUUUGCAACCCACUGCAGGUUGAAGAUCUUGAUCUUUUAGUUGAGCAUGUUGAUGUUACAAAUUUCAGGAGAACUUGUCUAUACCUCACCGGUGCUGCUAGGUAACUGGAAACUAAUGCUUCUGAACAACUUGUUUACCAUGAAUAAUUGAGAGAAAGUGUUUUUUGUUGUUCUCCUAAUGUAUAUCUUCUUUGGUGAAUUCUGAUUGAGAAUUCUCCAAUCAAUUAUAUGUGAAAUUUAUUAAGUUUUAAAUGCUGAACUGAAAAUUUUCAACUGGAUCUCUGAUGUAGUGUUAUCCACGAUAAAUGAUGUUGCUCUCUCUCUCUCUCUCUCUCUCUCCCUGUUUUGACAUUUCAUGCUGCAAUUUUUUGCAGAUACCUUCCUGGACCAGAUGACAUGUUAGUUUUGGAUGUUGCAUACACAAUAUAUCUUAAGUUUGAGGAAUUUGCAAAUGCACUUCAGAUUGCACUUUUCCUUGACAACAUGCAGGUUUGUUUUCUAUUAUUUUCCUCUUCUUUCAUGCCAUGCAGCAUUGUUGAGAAACUCCUUUUUCAGGAUGUCAGUAUGAAAUUCAUUUAUGAAUUUACUUAGUUUUAACUAUUUAGAAUGUGCUCUUGCAGCAUGUGAGACAGGUGUUUACUUCUUGUGAUAAUCUGCUGAGGAAGAAGCAAUUUUGCUACAUACUAGCUCGACAUGUAAGUGCUAGGUUUGCUUUGGCUAGAUUCUUUGUGCUGGAAAGUAUUUCAACUAUUUAUUGCUAAGUGCAUCAUAUGGUCAAUAGUUUCUUCUAAUUACGGACAAUUGAAUUUUCAUUUUCUCAUGGUCGAAAUUGGAUAUUGAUGGAUUUAAAUUUCUCUAGACUUGUUAGUCGGUGUAUGUACAAGUGUGAAUGUGCAUGUGUUUGAUGUGCAUGACAUUUUCUAUGUUAUUCAUUUGUUUUAUGUAUUUAUUUAUUUAUUUUUUUGCAGGGGAUUACUUUUAAGCUUGAUGAUGAGAUGGUUGCAGAAGAUGAUGACAGAGAGGGUUUACAGGAUAUCAUCAACAAUACCAAAUUAAGUGAAGGUUAUCUCACCCUUGCUCGGGAUAUCGAGGUUAUGGAGCCUAAAUCUCCAGAAGACAUCUAUAAGGUUUGGACUUCAACACUGGCUGGUAGCCAACCCCUCCUCUUUUUCUCCCCCUCAUCUUAUUGUUUCCCUUUCCUAAUGAAGGGAAUGAAGUGCUCACAUGCAUGUUCAGUUAUUUCAGUGAUACCUUUUUUAUUUUACAUGACAUUGCCCAUGUUGGAUAAUUUGCUUCAUCAUAUUGAUGACUUACAUGCUUGGUUUUGUUAGGCUCACUUGCUUGAUGGCCGCGCUAGUGGUGGUGCAAGUGUUGAUUCAGCUAGACAGAACUUGGCAGCUACAUUUGUCAAUUCAUUUGUUAAUGCAGGCUUUGGCCUGGUAUGGUUUGCAAACUUAAAAAUAAUGAAAGCAUGAGAGCUUAGUUUCUUAUACCGGAUAAUAUUUUUGCCUCACAGGAUAAGUUAAUGACAGCUCCACCAGACUCUUCAAGUGGCGGUUCUUCUGGAAAUUGGCUUUUCAAAAACAAAGAACAUGGGAAGACCAGUGCUGCAGCAAGUCUGGUAUGUAAAAAUUUGCUUCCAUAUGGCAUGCAUAUGCUGAUAUUCAAUUUUCUGUUAGGAAUUCAGUUUAAAUAUAGGAUUCUUAUCACUUUCCGCAUAACAGGGAAUGAUUCUAUUGUGGGAUGUUGACUCUGGGCUUGCUUAUAUUGACAAGUAUUUACAUAGCAAUGAUAACCACGUGAUUGCUGGAGCACUAUUAGGAGUUGGGAUCGUCAACUGUGGUGUUAAGAAUGAUUGUGAGCCUGUGGGUUUCUUUCUCCUCAUCUCUUGGUUUGUGCAGUGUAUUGCUUGCUAUAUAUCUGUCUUGUUUUCUUUUCUCAGGCACUGGCACUUCUGAGUGAAUACGUAGGCAAAGAAGAUUCUUCAAUCCGAAUUGGUGCAAUUAUGGGUUUGGGAAUUGCAUAUGCAGGUGCUCAAAAUGAGCAGGUAUACAUCUCUCUCUCUCUCUCUCUCUCUCUCUCUCCAUUAAAUGAACCUGGUAGGUCAUGGCACUGGCAAAUAUGUCCUUUGUGAUGAAUGCAGUUGCUAUUUUUUGAUUGGAUGCACUUAAUCUAACAAUUAUGUUAGUUUUCUUUGGGAAUUUGGCUGAAAUUGUGGAUGGGGCAUGUUUGGUUCUAAUGAAAGCUCACCAAUGUUAUUGACAGAUUCGUAGCAGCCUGACUCCCAUACUUAAUGAUGCAAAAGCCCCCCUUGAUGUGAUUGCAUUUACUGCAAUUUCAUUGGGUUUGAUAUUUGUGGGUUCCUGCAAUGAGGAAGUUGCACAGGCUAUUAUAUUAGCUUUAAUGGAACGAAAUGGGUCAGAAUUGGGGGAGCCCCUUACUCGGCUUAUACCUCUUGGUCUUGGUCUUUUAUACCUUGGGAAGCAGGUAAAUAAUAGUUUGGGCUCUGGCAUAUAUUUGUUUCUCUUAAGUGAAUUACAUAUCUUUUUGCAGUUUUGAGAACAUGUAGUCUGCUAUAUGCAAUUUGGAAACAUUUCAUCCUGACUGUCAGCAAAAAACUUUUACACCUGACAGAAAGUGGGAGGCCACUGCAGAGUCUCAAAAACGUUGAUGAAAAGAUAAGAAACUAUUUGUGACUUAUGACACUGCUGUCUUUGCCUACGCUGGAACUGGAAUGUUCUAAACGGUAAUCCCUUAAAUCCAUUAAAAUGCUGUUCAAAAACUAGAUUAUUAUGCAAUUUUAUAGUUAACUGUUAUAUAUACAGUCCAAAAACCUACUCAGUCAGUGUGCCUGAACAUCUGAAAAGGUUGAAACCCCAUCGACCAGCUGUGCUCGGAAUUGCCAUGUAGCAUGUGAAGAAUUGUCUUGAGAUGAUCAAUUCGCUCAUUAGAGCAAUUUUUGCAGUAUGGUGAGAGAAUAUCCGGCGGGCAGUUCCUUUGGCUCUUGGUCUUCUGUGUAUAUCAAACCCAAAGGUAAAUUAAUCUCAGUACAUCUGGCUGAACAACCUAUUUUGGCUAUUUUCAAGGGGAUUAAAUUUUAGGUUGAAGACUUAAAGGUACCACUUUUUCAUCGUAGCAAAUGAGCUACACUAUGGAAUUUAAUAAAUAUGAUUUAGUGAAGUCAAACUGAGAAGCAGAGAACAAUUAAGUUGACUGCUGUUAAACCCAAAGAUCAAGAUGUUAAGAAAGCUGAAGAGAGUUCUGCAACUUUUUAUGAUGUCUCUUUCUCACCAUUUUAUUGGUUGCACAUAUAUUCUACAGGUUAAUGUGAUGGACACCUUAAGCAGGCUUAGUCAUGAUACAGAUUCAGAAGUUGCAAUGGUAAGAUGGUUAGAGUAAAGCUUUUCUCUAUAAUAUUGUUGUUUUUCCAUCAGCUUGCACUUAAGUGUUUGCAUGGAUGCUGCAGGCUGCAGUUAUUUCCUUGGGUUUGAUAGGUGCUGGAACCAAUAAUGCUCGCAUAGCUGGCAUGCUUCGCAAUCUUUCAAGUUAUUACUACAAAGAUGCUAGCCUUUUAUUCUGUGUAUGUUUGUUGUACUUGUCUUUAUAGUAUCUUGCAUGAUACCAUGUGCUCUGUUAGAGACUAAGGUUGAUUGCUUGUGCAGGUGCGACUUGCUCAAGGAUUAGUUCAUUUGGGGAAGGGUCUAUUGACUCUUAAUCCCUAUCAUUCUGAUCGCUUUUUGCUAUCCCCGUAAGUGGCUCUUCCUGCAUACACAUUCACCAAAAUUAAAAUUAAAAUUCACAAAAUGAUAUAUUUGGUUUGGACUUGGGGAGUGGCUUUCUUUCUGUAAACUGCUAGUAGCUGCUUCAAUUUGGUUUGCCUUAUAAAAAUUUCUUUCUUUUGUUACCUCCAGGACUGCACUUGCUGGUUUGGUCACAAUGCUACAUGCAUGUCUUGAUAUGAAAGCUAUAAUACUGGGGAAAUACCAUUAUGUUCUCUACUACCUUGUUUUGGCAAUGCAGGUUCGUUUGAGUGAUGCUAGUUUCCCCGUGUGCAUGUUUUUGUCAAUCAUGUUUUUCUUGUUCUCGUAAUAUUGUUUUCUUGUACAGCCAAGGAUGUUGAUGACUGUUGACGAAAACCUCAAACCUCUGUCAGUCCCAGUUCGGGUGGGCCAGGCUGUUGAUGUUGUUGGCCAGGCUGGCCGACCCAAGACUAUUACUGGUUUCCAAACCCAUUCCACCCCAGUUCUUCUGGCUGCCGGCGAUAGAGC
Molecule: long non-coding RNA, 67527 nt
Filed under: Durio zibethinus
Lineage: Eukaryota; Viridiplantae; Streptophyta; Magnoliopsida; Malvales; Malvaceae
Description: long non-coding RNA (DZIB_LNC000757)
Source: RNAcentral